UAUAGCCACCAUCAUUUUUGUCCUCAAUAACACUACACUUUUUAUCUAGAUCUUCAUCUUGGCAUUUUGUGACCAAUGGAGCUCCACAAAGAUUAGGGUUUCCAACAAAGGCCGACUCAUUGAAGGUUGUCAUUUGCCCUAUAAAGGGGAUCUUACCAGAGAAAUUAUUAUUCGAUAGAUUCAAAUAACUCAAGAAUGUUAAUGAAACCAUGCUUGAAGGAAUGCUGCCGGAAAGCUUAUUCCUUGACAAAUCAAGAGAUAAUAACUGGUGCAACAUUGAAAUGCUUUCAGGAAUUUGGCCACUGAUGUGAUUCCCAGACAAGUUCAAAACCACCAAACCAAACAAUUUUGUUAUUUCUUGGGGAAGCUCUCCACUUAAAUUAUUGUCGGAUAGGUCUAUGCCUACAACCAAAGAAAGAGUCCUGGUGUAUGCAAGACUUUGACCUUUCAUAAUCACCACCAAUCGUUCUUCAUACUGAGAGUUUCUCACAUUGUCAUACAAAGGAUAUAUAUUCUUGUUAUACUCCGGAACCAUGGCUUUAAGCUCAAACAAAGUGACUGGAAUUUCACCCAUCAGAUUGUUUUGUGCAAGGUCUAAGACAUGUAGGGAGCUUAAAUUUGAAAGCUGGGAGGGAAGUCUUCCAAAAAAUACAUUUGACCUCAAGUUGAGUAUUACAAGAUUUAUGAAAGCAGUUCCAAUCCAUGAAGGAACCUUACCCGAUAACUGGUUAUAACUGAGAUCAAGGAGUUCCAAUCUUGAUAAAUUUUGGAAAGAUGAGUGGAGCUCUCCUGAAAGCUUGUUGUCGUUCAGAUGCAAUGAUUCGAGCCAUUGUAACUGGCCCAACGACUUUGGUAGCAUCCCAGAUAAAUUGUUAUUUCCAAGGUCAAGAACAAUUAGGCUAGAGCAAUUACCUAUGGUAUAAGGAAUGCUUCCAGUCAAAUUAUUCCUUGAAAAAUCAAUGAUUUGAAGAGAGGUGAUUUGUCCUAUGGAAUCUGGGAUGGUCCCUGUUAUUUGAUUUUCCGAAAGGAAAAGGUAAUUCAAGUCUAACAUAGAUUCACCUCUGCUCAGUGGGAUAGGGCCAAAAAAUUUAUUGUGUGAGAGAUCUAGUAAAUAGACCCCUUUGAUUGAAAAAGGAAUAAGUCCCUCAAAGAGGUUGGAACUGAAAUCAAUCUCUGAUUCACCAUAAAAAUUUAAUGAAUUUGGUAGCUGACCUUGUAACUGAUUGUUGGAAAGAUUCAACAGUUGUAGAUUAAAAGAAAUAUUCCAAAACCACUUGGGUAUGGAACCUGAGAUGCUAGCAUUUGACAAAUCCAGAAAGGAGACCUUCUUUUGAGAUCUAAGCCAAGUUGGGAAUGAAGGGCCUAAAUUGCAUGAAGCCAUACUCAGAAAAGUGAUUUGGAAUGGGGGGACCCAGGUGGAACUAACAUUCAAAACGAGACCUGAAUUUCCACCUAUCCACAGAAACUUCAGCUUACUCAACUUUGAAAAAUGUUCUUCAGAAAGAAUUCCUGUCAAGGUAUUAAGAGUAUUAAAAUAAUUUCAUUUAUUUAUUUAUUUUAUGAAAAAUAAGAAAUUUCAAGAGAAAUGAAUUUUCAGAAAAUGUAUAAUAAAUCAAAUGAGUGGAAAAAAGAUAAUUUAAAAUAUUUUUUAAAAACAAGUGUUUACAUGGAAUCAAUAUAUACACGAUUACCAGAAGAAAAUUUUAAUGAAUUUGGUAGCUGACCUUGUAACUGAUUGUCAGAAAGACUUAAUUCCCGCAGAUUGAAAGAAAUAUUCCAAAACCACUUGGGUAUGGAACCUGAGAUGCUAGCAUUAAAUAAAUACAGAUAGGAGACCUCCUUUUGAGACCUAAGCCAAGUCGGGAAUGAAGGGCCUAAAUUGAAUGAAGCCAUCGCCAGAUCAGUGAGUUGGAAUGGGGGGACCCAGGUGGAACUAACAUUCAAAACGAGACCUGAAUUUCCACCCAUCCACAGAGUCUUCAACUUACUUAACUUUGAAAAAUGUUCUUCAGAAAGAAUUCCAGUCAAGCGAUUCCCAUAAACUUCCAAUACAACCACUUCAGAAAGUUGUCCAAAACUAACUGGGAGACUCCCAUUCAGUUCAUUCCAUACAAGCCGCAUCUCAUUCAGAUUUUUGAAUGUCCCAAAAGAAGCAGGGAUAGGGCCUUGAAGCUUGUUCCUGGAUAGAUCCAAAUAUGUAAGUUUUUCCAGCUGACUCAACCGUUCUGGCAAUCAGCCCACUAAUUGAUUCGAGGACAAGUCCAAAUACCCCAGUUCUGGUAAAGGACCUUCAGAACUGCAGUUUUUGAUCUCUUCGAGAAACUCAGAGAAACUUCCUGCAAUCAUCAUCAAGAGUAUUAAAAUAAUUUGUUUUUAAUAAAUUGUUUUAUGAAAAAUAAGAAAGUUCACGAGAAAGGUAAGAAACUUUGCCGUCUUAAUGCAUUAUCAAAUGAACGGAGAAAAGAUAAUUUAAAAUAUUUUUAGAAACAAGUGUCUACAUGGAAUAAAUUGAGAAUAUUGUUUUUAGAAAUUAAAAUUUCCAAAUAAAAUUUUGUUUCAAAAUAUAAUAUAAUAUUUGUAAAAAUUAUUAUAAAAAAACUCAAAAUUUGAUUUUGAAAAAAUAUUUUAAAAAGGUUUACAAGAAACAAAAUACAUUAUAAUAUUUGUAAAAUUAUUAUAAAAAACUCAAAAAAUGAUUUUAGAAAACUAUUUUAAAAUUUGUUUACAACCAAAACCUAGAUUUUGUAGUGUAAUCUUUCAAAUACAUCAAAAGCCCUAAAAAGUCCCCUUUAUUGGUCAAUUGUGAAUUGAAUUUAUGACAAAUCAUGCAUCAUCAAGAGUAAAAAAUAAUUUAAUUUAAAAUAAUUUUCAAAAAAAAAAGAGAGAGUUUAUGAGAAAACAAUUUGAUGAGUGGUGAGAAGAUAAUUGAAGUUGCUUUGAUGGUUUAAUGAUAAAAGUAAGAGAUUAUUAGAAAGUCAGAAUAAUUUAAUGCAAAAUAUUUUUUAAAAACAAGUGUUAAACUGUAGAACCACUACAUUAUUUUGAUGUAUCAAAAUCAAUAAGCAAUAAUAAUUUUUCUAAGCCAAAAACGUACCAAGAAAUUUAUUUUUUGCCAAAUUCAGAAAUUCUAUCUUCUUCCAGCUNNNNNNNNNNNNNNNNNNNNNNNNNNNNNNNNNNNNNNNNNNNNNNNNNNNNNNNNNNNNNNNNNNNNNNNNNNNNNNNNNNNNNNNNNNNNNNNNNNNNUGUUUUUAAUAAAUUGUUUUAUGAAAAAUAAGAAAGUUCACGAGAAAGGUAAGAAACUUUGCCUUCUUAAUGCAUUAUCAAAUGAACGGAGAAAAGAUAAUUUAAAAUAUUUUUAGAAACAAGCGUCUGCAUGGAAUAAAUUGAGAAUAUUGUUUUUAGAAAUUAAAGUUUCCAAACAAAAUUUUGUUUCAAAAUAUAAUAUAAUAUUUGUAAAAAUUAUUAUAAAAAAACUCAAAAUUUGAUUUUGAAAAAAUAUUUUAAAAAGGUUUACAAGAAACAAAAUACAUUAUAAUAUUUGUAAAAUUAUUAUAAAAAACUCAAAAAAUGAUUUUAGAAAACUAUUUUAAAAUUUGUUUACAACCAAAACCUAGAUUUUGUAGUGUAAUCUUUCAAAUACAUCAAAAGCCCUAAAAAGUCCCCUUUAUUGGUCAAUUGUGAAUUGAAUUUAUGACAAAUCAUGCAUCAUCAAGAGUAAAAAAUAAUUUAAUUUAAAAUAAUUUUCAAAAAAAAAAGAGAGAGUUUAUGAGAAAACAAUUUGAUGAGUGGUGAGAAGAUAAUUGAAGUUGCUUUGAUGGUUUAAUGAUAAAAGUAAGAGAUUAUUAGAAAGUCAGAAUAAUUUAAUGCAAAAUAUUUUUUAAAAACAAGUGUUAAACUGUAGAACCACUACAUUAUUUUGAUGUAUCAAAAUCAAUAAGCAAUAAUAAUUUUUCUAAGCCAAAAACGUACCAAGAAAUUUAUUUUUUGCCAAAUUCAGAAAUUCUAUCUUCUUCCAGCUUCCGCUUAACAGUUGAGAGCAACUACCUGUGAGAUUUCUGUUCCAAGAUAGAUCCAAGUGCUGCAAGUUAGGUAGUUCCCCAAGGCCAAGUGAAAUUUGCCCAUAUAACUCACUAGAGCUUACAUCAAUGUAUACAAGGCUGCUAAUGUUUAGAAGCCAUAUUGGGAACUUUGACCGAAAAGAGUUGCCACUGAUGCUUAUGACAGACAAUGAAGUAAAAUUGAUAGAGUUUAGAGAUGAAAUUGAACCAGAGAGCCCACACUGUUGUAGGUGCAACUCUGUUAAAAAUGAAAGCUUGUUGAAUACCUCCAUCCAGUGAGAUCCUACCAUUGAUAGGUUGACAUAGUUCAACUUGAGAUGCCUUAAGGAAACAAGAUUAGUCAUCCAUUCAAGGUUCUUAACAAAUAACUGAGAUUCAAUGGAAGAAAGAUCAAGAAAUUGCAAAUUAGAAAGGUUUCCCAAGGUUGGAGGAAUUGCACCUCUGAAUCCACAAUUUGAUAAGUUCAGAUAUUGUAAACUUUUCAAAGAUCCGAAGAAUUUAGGAAUUGGGAUAUGCUCAAAUGAGUUGCCACUCAAAUCUAAAGACCUCAAAUAUUUGAGUUCUAUCAAAGAAGGUCGGAUCUCCCCGCUUAAGUUCAUUGAACUCCAAUUUUCAUAUGCUUCUUCAAGAUAAUAUGGGUUAUGAAGAUCGAUUGAAAUAACAACUCCUGUGUUAUUUUCACAACCAAUUCCCUCCCAUUGACAACAAUUGCCUCCUAUCCAUGAUGAAAGCCGGUUGUCAGAAGAAUCUUUGAGACCAUUUUUGAAGUCAAGAAGAGCUUCUCGAUCAGCUCUUAAGCAAUUUCCCUCAAGGGUUUCACCCUUGCAAGCAAGAUCUCUUGUUAUUAAACAUAGAAUGACCAAAAGGAAACCAAGAAUUGAAAUUUUCACCAUCUAAGAACACCUAUAAAAACAAGUAAUUAAUAUUAAGUUCCGAAAGAAGAAUCAAAAUAGUGAUGAAAUUUGAUAAGUAAUCAAAACUUCAAGUUAUUGGAUAUUAAAUAACACAUAGAUUUUAAUCAAUCAUAAGUUAAUAAGAUUAAAACAUGUCAAAUGGAUGGCAUACUUGAACACAGAUCCAUAUCAAACAUGGUCUGAUGAUUGUUGCUUAUCAAAACUAUAGAAAUCACCCACAAGAGAAGCUUAGAAGCAUUAGGCAGAGGAAAACACUAGAGACAACUUGGCAUUAUUGGUAAAGUAAAACAAGACUAGUCAUCCAUUCAAGAUCAUUAACAUAUAAAUCAUAGGAUUCAAAAUUAACAAAUAAAUCAAAAGAUUCAUGGCUAGAAAGAUCAAGAAAUUUCAAAUUAGAGAGGUUUCCCAAGCUAAGAGGAAUUGCACCACUAAACCCACAAUUUGAUAGGUUUAGAUAUUCUAAAUUCUUUAACUAUCCAAAGAAUUCAGGAAUUGAAAUAUGCUCAAAUAAGUUUCCACUCAAAUCUAAAUAUCUCAAGGAUUUGAGUUCUAUUAAUGAAGGCCUAAUCUCUCCACUCAAGUUCAUAGAAGUUUCAUUCUCAUAUGCUUCAUCGGGAGAAUGUGGGUUAUGAAGAUCAACUGAAAUAACAACUCCUAUUUUAUUUUCACAAUCAAUUCCCUCCCAUUGACAACAAUCGAGCUCUCUCCAUGAUGAAAUCUGGUUGUUAGAACCUCUGAGACCAUUUUUGAAGUGCGUAAGAUCAUCUUUAUCAUUUUUUAAGCAAUUUCCCAAAAUGGUCUCACCUUAACAAGUAAGUUCUAUUUUUAUUAAAUAUAGAAUGAUCGAGAAUUGAAAUUUUCUCCAUCUAGGAACACCUGUAGAAACAAGUAAAAUUAAGUUCCAACACAACAAGAAAAAUAGUGACAAAAUUCAAUUAGUAAUGGAAACAAGACAUUAGACAAUUAAUAACAUAUUUAAUUUAACUAGUCAUUUGUUUAAUAAGAUUAAAAAUUCCCAAGUAAACAACAUAUUUGAAUACAUGUCAAAUAAAAUAUAAUUGAAAUCAUCCCAACAAAUAUCAAAUAUGCUUUGAUGAUUGCUAUUGAUCAAAACAUUCCAACUAUAGAAAUCACCUACAAAAAAAAAAAAAAAAACUUGAAGCAUUAGAUAGCGAGAAACACUAUAAAUAACUUGGCAUUAUUAGUGGAGUAGGAUCUUACCAAUUUUUUAUUUUUUCUUUCUGGUGUAGUCAUUCCUUUGGAUGCAGAGACAUAUAUAGAAGAUAAUUCAACUAGAAACCAUGUGGAUGAUAGUGAUAGACUCCUUUCAUUUCUUUUUAGCAAUAUUUUUAAAAAUAGACUAGACCAACCAAUUGAACCGAUUCAAUUGUUGACCAAUUCACUUUCCAAUUCAAGUGACCUUUUCCAACCAUUUUGGGCUUUUUACUUAAUUUAAAAAGUUAACUGAUUCAAACUUUUAACCCCUCCGACCUAACUCACACUGUGAAAAAAUAAUUAAAUUAAUACUUAAUACUUUUAAGUUGUAUUUAAAAUUAAGCUCUAUUUAUAUGUAACUUAAAAAUCUCCAUCUUAAUCUAUUAGCUCUUAAUUUUUUAAAAAAAAUAAAAAAUACUUAAUCUAUCAUGUUGAACCAAACUUUAACUUUGCAUGAUGUCAAUAAUAAUAAUAAUAAUAAUAAUAAUAUGCACAUAUAAACGAUAAAGUCAUUACCUCUAUGAAUUGGGUCAGGGAAAAAUCUUCCUCAAAAUAUCACAAUCUUCAUGUUGUCUUAUCAAUAUGUAUACAAGUAAAACCAAUAAGUUUAUAAGUAAUGUUUCACAAUCUUAUAAAAAAUUAAGGGAAAAAAAAUAAAAUAAUCAAUAACACAUCAAAAAACAAUUUUAGCAUACCACCCCAAAAUAAAUAAAAUCUCUUAAAAUUUUGAAAAUUUCUAUUAUAAGGUUAUUAUUUCGGAUAGAAUGACCAUGCCCAUCAAAGUUGGGUUUGCACUAAUCCAAUCCAAUCAAUCAAAUUAACUAUUUAAAGUAAUCCAAAAAUUGUGGCCACUUUUUAAAGGCACUUUCGUCAUGUCAUGUCAAGGGAAAUUUAAGGACAUUAUUUUCCUCAUUCAUUUAUUCAAGGUUUAUGCCGUGUCCACCAAGGUGGCCAUUUUUUCUUCAAUCAUUUUUAAUAUAUUUUCUUUCAUAUCUUGCUACCUUAUCAAGAAAAUUUUGCAUUAGCUUGACUUUGACUCCAUGUUUGGGUCGUCUAGAUUAGGGCCCUAUAAUUGUCUAUGACUUGUCAAUUGCAUUUUAAAUUUUACAAGACUUCAAUGAAUAUUUGCAAAUAAUAGAUAUUUUAUAUAUUUUAAUUUUUGUUGAAAAUAAUUUUUUUUUGGUAAAAAGAAUUUUACACUACCAAUUCAUUUCCUCACAUGGAAGUGCUAGGAAAAAUUUUAAAAUUACCUAAUCCAUUUGGCGCUUUUACAAAGUAUAUGAACUAGUGGUGCUUCGAUGAAUCAAUUGCUUUAGAUUAAUUAAUUUUCAACCAACUGAAUUAUACAUUUAGAUAUAAGGUAAUUUGGGUAAGUAACAUUUAAUAACUUCAUAAUUUCUUUAUUUAAAUCUUAUAAAAUAUUUGAGAAGAAAAUAAAAAAGUUACAAAUUAAAACCACAAUGAAAAAUAGUAAGAAAAAAAAUAAACAAUAAGAAAACAAACACAUAAAACAUGAUUAAUGUAGUUUGCCCUAAAGCCUACAUUCACAACUGAAGAUAAAAAAAAAAAACUUCCAAUAUUGUUUAAGAAGAUUAUAAUCCUAUAACUCUUAAAUCCUAAAGUCUAAACUAAUUAUACCAAGAAAAAUGAUUAUUUCUUAUUUGUUAAAAUGUCUUCUCAUAUUUUCUUGAUUGGAAUAUUUAAUAUAAGGAACUAAUUAUCUAAUUAUUAGAGAUACAUAAUAUUUGUAGAGAUAUUACUACUAAUUUUCCUUAUUCUAUAAAAGGAAUCUAAUUAUAAUCACAUGAUAUGAAUUUAUGAAAUAUUUUAUAUAAAGUGGUGAGGAAUAUAUGUGGUAGACAGAGAUAUGAGAAAGAGUGAGAGAUACUUGGUGGAGUUAUAGAGGGCUCAUUAGGGUGUAGAUGUGAGAAAGAGUAAAGAAUAUUUGGUGGAGUAAAAUGAGAUGUUUUGACACCCAAUAGUUGUAUCUAUUUCUAUUCUCUGUACUCUUUUACAUGACAUAGUAGAAUGUUAUUUCUCAUCUAUUAAGGUAGGCAUGGUUAGUCGAACCUUUGUGUGUGGUUUGCUUUAUUUUUAUAUUUUUCUUUAACACAUCUAUAUUGAAGUUGUUGUUGGCCCAAUAAGUGAUAUCAAAGCUUCCGAUGACAUAACAAAUAUUUGUUGGGAAAAUUGAAACACCUAAAUACAAAAAGAAAAAAAAAAGUGAAAUAAAAAAAAAGACAAAAUAUUUACCUAGUUCAAGAUAAUCGCCUACAUCCAUGGGAAAGAAAGAUCAAAUUAAUUAAUAAACUUUACACACUUCAAACUUUCUUGACCUUUCUUUAUCCAAAACUCAUACAACUUUUGACUAUCUCUAUUCACUCCUUGCUCACUUUUUCCUUCUAUCUUAAAAUAAUAUAUAAAACCACAUAUAUAUAAAGUCCUAAUCUUGAUCAAGCUUAAAAGGGUAUUUUACCCAAAUACAAACUCUACAAAUAUUAAAUUUUCUCAAAAUAAAUAUAACUAAAUAAAUUGAGUCUAUAUAUAUUAAAAGACUUUUUUUUCUUCUAAACCCAAGAGACCAAGUCCCCUGAAAGGAGUAGAUAUCAUUUUAUUGAAUUUUCAUGGACCAAACAUAACUUGCUUGUACAAGAAGGUAGAAAAUUUAUGACAAUGAAGAAUUUUCCACAUUUCCUUUCAUUGAAUUCCACAUCCAUAACAAAUGAAGACAUUUUUGUCAUGUCAUGUCAAGGUAAAUUUAAGGAUAUUAUUUUCUCCAUUCAUUUAUUCAAGGUUUAUGUCGUGUCUACCAAGGUGACCAUUUUUUCUUCAAUAUUCUGUCAUGUCCUGCUACCUUAUCAAGAAAAUUUUGCAUUAGCAUGACUUUGACUCUAUGUUUGGGUCAUCUGGAUUGGGGCCUUGUAAAUCGCCUGUGACUCAAAAAAUACAAAAAUAAAGACUUAGAAACUCAUGUCAACAAAUUUUAACAAACCACUCCAUAAUAUAUGAAAUUUCUUAAAAAUUGUAUUUUUGUAAUAAUAGUUCUAAGCUUUUUUCCCCUUUAUUUUAAGAAACAUUUGAAAGUGUCAAUUGCAUUUUAAAUUUUACAGGACUUUGAUGAGUAUUUGUAAAUAAUAGAUAUUUUAUAUAUUUUAAUUUUUAUUGAAAAUAAAUUUAUUUUGGUAAAAGGAAUUUUACACUAGUAAUUCAUUUCCUCACAUGGAAGUGCUAGAAAAAAUUUAAAAAUUACCUAAUCCAUAUGGUGCUUUUACAAAGUAUAUAUAAUUUAGUUGUACUUCAAUGAAUCAAUUGCUUUGGAUUAAUUAAUUUCCAACCAACUGAAUUAUACAUUUAGAUAUAAUGUAAUUUGGGUAACUAACAUUUAAUAGCUUCAUAAUUUCUUUAUUUAAAUCUUAUAAAUUAAAUAUAUAUAUAUAUAUAUAUAUAUAUAACUUAUUAUAAACAAGUUGGAAGCAUAUGCUCAUUCAAGCCUUCAUUUUUCCUUUUCGAUUUGCUAUAAAGUUGAUUUUCUUUCCUAAAGAAUUAAAUAUUUUAGAAAAUUUUGAAAAGAAAUUAAAGAAGUUAUAAAUUAAAACCACAAUAAAAAAUAAUAAGAAAAAUAAAAUAAUAAAAAAACAAAAACAAAAAACACGUAAAACAUGUAAAACACGAGUUAUGUAGUUUGCCCUAAAGCCUACAUUCACAAACUUAACAAAGAUAAAAAUGAACUUUUACUAUUAUUUAAAAAGAUUAUAAUCCUAUAACUCUUAAAUCCUAAAGUCUAAAUUAAUUAUACCUAGAAAAAUAUUUUUUUCUUAUUAUCUAAAAUGUUUUCUCAUAUUUUCUUGAUUAUAUUGGAAUAUUUAAUAUAAGGAAUUAAUUGUCUAAUUAUGAGAGAUACCUAAGAUAUUUUCAUUAUAAUUUGCAUGAAAAAGCCCUAUAAUAUUAUACUAUAAAUGUAAAAAUCCACAAUAAUAAAUCAUAUUAAAAGCCUCACUACAUCCAUAACAGCAAUUUUUGAAAUUAUUUUAAAAUAUAUACAAAAUUGAACUUCCAAUAGCAUCAAACAAACUCGUAAAUAUUUCUCUCUCCUACCUUCUUAAAAUUUUUGGUCUACGCUUGUCACCAUGUCAAGUCAAAAUCAUGUUUAAUUUUUAGCCAAACAGAAAAAGACUUGAGCCACUAUCUUCACUUAAACGUUAAGUUUUAAUGGAGACAGAUGAAUUAUGGACCACAUAACAUAUUUUGUCAUCUUGAUGAGUUGUAGGUCAUGAACCAAGUUGCUUGAAAAGGACGGUAGAGGACUAAAAUAUUUCCUCACAAGAGCCCUAUAAUAUUAUAUCUUGAUGACUUCCAGCAAGUCAAUACCACUUUCCCCACAAGAAGUCUUCAAUGGGUCGAAAUUCAAAAUAAAUGAUUCAUCUAAUGUGAUGGAAAUAGGAAUAAUUUGCAUGCAUUUCUUUUACUUUAUUUAUUUGCCAUAUCAUAACUCAAACUGUUUUUUAUUUUUUUUUAUCAACUUACUGUUGCACUAUUCAUUUAGUUUAUCUUAUAGAAAUAUAUACACUAAAUAAUAAUAAUUUCAUAAAUAAAAAAGUCACCACCCAAAAUAUAUAAAAAAUUAAUGUUUAUUUCUAAUUUAUUUUUAAUUCUGUCUAUACCAGCCCUAGCUGCUCUCCAAGAAUGGGCUUCAGAACACCAAAGAACCAGCCCAAUAUGUAGGCUUAAGAGAGCCUUUUCAUGGGCUGGAACCCAUGUAGGGGCUAGUCCAACACCGAUAAUAAUAUAGGAUUAAAAAAAUUAUUUAAUUGUAAUCAGGUCAAUAAGAUCAUGGUGCACUAUAAAAACAAAAGUAAUUAUUAUCCUUUCCUUUCUAUGAUUUACAUGAUGUCUUGCUUCAUGCGACUACCUUCUUGAAAUAAAAUUUUAAAAAUGUUGAAAUAAGAUGUAAUAAAAAGAAAAUAUUUUAAUGAACUAAUUUAUCUAAAGCUAAUAUUACAAUUCCAUAUUUUUCAUAUCGUGACUCCAAAAAACUAGGUUUGUUUUUUCUAAUAAAAAAAAUGUAUAUAUUUUUUAAAUAAAAGGCAUUGACUUUGGUUAUAACAUUUCGAUGUCUAAAGACAGUAUAACAUAAAAAAAACAAAAGUAAUUAAUGAUUAACAAAGAAACUAAUUAUUAUUAUUUUUUACCUUUUAGGCAAAGUCAUACUCAAUAACCAACAAUGACUUGUUCAUUUUUUAGCACCCUUUCUUCUUCCAUUCUUUCAACAUUUUCAGCCUCCUUGCCUUGCUUCAUUUAACAUCCCCUCCUCUUCAUAUUGAUAUAUUGCUCCUUCUAUCUCUUUCAUCACAUCCUUGUACUGAUUUAACUUACACCCCUCCUUCAAUUAUCACUUCUUCUAGCACUACAUUAGUUUCAUUAUCUAUCAAUCUUUCAAUAAUUUCAAGUGUUGGUUCCUUAUAAACGCAUUGGUAUUUGACUCUAAUUAUUUAUUUUUUAUUUUUAGGAGAGUCAAUAUUUAUAGAGUUUGUGUUUGGGUAAAUUUUUUGAAUUUGACCAGGAUUAGGAAACUAUUAGUUUAGGGUUCAACCCAUAGAACUUUAUAAAUAUGUGGUUCUACAUGAGAUUUCCACAAAAGAGCAAAAAAAGUGAGCAAAGAGUGGAGAGCGUAUUAGGUUUUGUGUAAAGAGAGGUUAAGAGAGUUUGAGUUUCUAUUUUUUAAAUUUAUUAAUAAAUUUGAUCUCUCUUUCUAGUGGACCUAGACAAUUAGGUCGGACCGUAUAAAUUUUUUAUCUUCUCUCAUUUACUUUAUUUUUUCUUGUUGCAUUUGAGUGUUACAUGUGAUUUUCCUAACAAGUGUAUCAAAGCUUUCAUUUUCUUAAAAAGUGCUAUCAAAGCUCCUAUUUUCCCAAUAAGCCAUAUCAAAACUUUUGUUUUCCCAACAAGUAGUAUAUGAUAAACAUCAAGAGUCUCCACCAGAAUAGCAACUAAUUUGUUAGAUAGUUAAUCUUAGAUAGGUUGCAACUGAUCUAUUAGAUAGUUACCCUUAGAUAGGUUGUUGAACCAAUAGUUUGUUAAAUCAUUUUUGAAAUAGCUUGUAUAAAUAGCUUGAUAGUAAAAGUUCUUGGCAUGUUGUUCUUGGUUGAUAAUAUUUUAUGGUAUUAGAGUUGAGUUUUUCCCUCUAAUCAUUUCCAGAUUUGCUUUCUUCCUUCUUGUUGGCUUGAUUACAGUCGUUCUCUUCUCUCAUCAAAGAACACCCACCGUCACAAGGCUACUUCAACCUAAUUUUCCAAUCCAUAAAACACUCUGGACAUAACUUCCUCACAAUCUCUUGGCUUGGUUCAACCAUUGCAUAUGUUGAAUCAUCCUCUUCCCAUCAACCACCACUAGUGAAACCAAUCUAGACUUCCUUACUUGGCGACAUUUUUAUUGCUUGAUCCUGAGUUGGAUCUACACUUCCCUUACUCCCGAAAUUAUGGGACAAAUAAUUGGAUAUCAUACUUCUCAUGCAACAUGGACUGCUCUAGAGAAGAUCUUCUCCACCUCAUCAAAAGCAUAAGCAAUGUAGCUUCAGUUAGAAUUUCAAACAGCUUGGAAAGGCUCCCUCCAUGAUGGAAUACAUACUCAAGUUGAAGAUUCUCAUUGAUUAACCUUGCUACCAUUGGAGAGUCGGUAUAAAAAAGAAACCAAAUCUUGAAACUUCUUGGCAGUCUUGGAGCAGAUUACAACUCCAUAGUUGCAUCCCUUAUAGCUCGUGAAGAUGAUAUACCCCUACAUUAGUUCACAACAUUUUACUCACCUAUGAACAAAGACUCAACUUUUAGAGUUCAGUAAUAGAAAACGAAGUUAUCUCUACUCAUGUAGCCACACAAGGACAAUUUGCUCACCCAAGAAGAUACCAGAACGGGGAAACUAACUCCUACUUCAACAACCAAAUUAGCUCCCACCAUCAUCAAGGAAGAGGACGUUCAGGUGGCCAUGGGCAAGAUCAUUGAACAAAUCUUAGUGGCAAUGGUAGUAGACCUCAAUGCCAACUUUGUGGUAAAAUCAUAGGUUUGGUAUAAAUUUUCAAGGACCUAAUCCCUUGCCUACAAAUCCUCUCAAACCUUCAUCAAGCACUCCUAAUAGCAAUGAUAUACAAACGAUGAUGGUCUCUUCUUCUUUAAUCUACAAUGAAUCUUGGUUUCUUGACAAUAUUAGCUAGGGCAACGCACCAUCUCUCCCUACGUGAUAAUACUCUCACAAACACUCAUCCAUACCACGGCAAAUACAAAGUCACAGUUGGAAAUGGUAAGAAAUCAUCCAUCUCACAUGUUGGCUCCAAGUCAUUUCAAACUCCUCACAAGUCCUUUCAGUUACGAAGCAUUCCUCAUCUUGCUACAAAUCUUAUCAGUGUUCCUAAAUUUUGCACUAACAACAAUUUAUUUUUUGAAUUUCAUCCUACUUUCUUUCUUAUUAAGGACUGGAAUACAAAGAAGAUUCUUCUUGAAGGAAACAUUGAGCAUAGCUUGUACAAAUUCCCCAAUAACCACAUUGGUACCUCUUCAACAUUCUUUCCUUCUAGGCACUUAGCUCUCAUUAGAUAAUAAAAUAAGAAUGAGCUAAUCAACUGAUGAAUUUAACAACCAUCUUAUUAAAGAAUAUAUAUAAUUACCCAGAUAGUGUGAUGGCCAAAUAGGAUAGUCUGAUGGAAGAUGGUGACAACCUCUCUUUUUUUUUAACAUAAAGCAUAAUAAUUCCAAGUCCAGGAUACUUUUCUUCUAAUAAAGUGCUUGCUUUAAACUUUCCUUUUGAUAAAGUUUUUGCUUUAAAGUUUAGUUACUUUUAGAGUCAUGUGGUCUUGUCCUCUUAUACAAAAUCUUUUUCUUACCCAAUUGCAAGAAAUGAUAUGAGAUAAUGAAUUAAGAAUGAACUAAUCCAAUUAUGGAUCAGCAACCAUUUUAUUAUAUAUAUAUAACCUAUUCUAAUCACCCCAUUACCUAGAUAAUGUGAGAGUUAUAGCAAUUAAGUAAUUCGUUUAAUGUUAAACUUGAUUGAUAAUUAAUAAUCCUUCUAUAAAUUACCUUUAAAUUAGUUUUAUAUUAAUUAACAUAUUUUUCUAUCUUAAUUUAUAAAAAGCUACUCAAUCAAUCUCAUUAACUCCACCCAAAAAAUACUACAUUAAGUUACAAAAGAGUUUGAAUUACUGAUUAUCAAUUCUUUUAUAUUUCAUCCAAGUUGUUGAGUAUGACACCUAGCCCCCUACAAGAUUGAAUGAUCUUAGAAUUACUAUUUGAUUAUGAAUUAAAUGUUUUUAAAUUUGAUUCUUAAAAAUUUUCUCUAUUAAGCUAAUAAUUUGAUCAAAACUAUAAGGGAGUUGGGUUAAGACUAUAAUAUUUCACUUAAGUUGUUCCUCCUCUAGACUGAAGUGGAAUAACUUUCUAUGUGUUAGGAGACCAAAGAAUUUGAUUAAGAUUUAAGAAUCCAAACUUCCAGUUGACGGAGAUUCUAUAGGAGUCCUAUGUUUAGGUAAAUAAGAAAGGGAGAGUUUCAUGAAAGUCUGAUAGUUGGUUGCACUAAAUUUUGGUAUUUGUCACGUUCAAGCUUAAGAAAAUGUUGGAUUAAUUCGAGGAAAUCCACAGCCUCCAAUACUCACUGAUUGCAACUGUUUUGAUACCUUUCUCAUUAACAUGAAAGACGUUGUUUCCUAAGUGGGUUGCGGGAAGAUAUUUGGUUUAUGGUACGUAUGCUUAAUCCUUCAAAUUUACAUAUUGCUUUUGGUUUAGCAAAAAUGCAAGAAGAGAAUGUGGCUGCUCUUAGAAGAACUGCAAAGCUAGGAUCAGUUCCUACACGUUUGGCUAUUGGGCCUCCGAGCCCACCUGAAAAAAGGGCCAUUGUUCCGGUCCAAAGAUUAUCACCUAGCCAAAUGAAGGAGCGACGGGAUAAGGGACUUUGUUAUAAUUGUGAUGACAAAUGGGCCCCGGGGCAUAAGUGCAAAUCAGCCCGACUGUUUAUCAUGGAGUGUGAUGAAUCAAGUGAUGAUGAGGUGCCCAAAUCUGAAGUUGCAGAAGGGCGUGCGAGCAAGUCUAAGGAGGAAACGCCUAUAGUGGAGAUAGAACCCGGAAUAUCUAUCCAUGCAUUAGUUGGGUCACCAAACCCAAAAACAAUGAGAUUCUUGGGGCACAUUUGUGGAAGGGCAGUAGUAAUCUUGGUUGAUACGGGAAGUACACACAAUUUCAUGGACCCAUCUGUUAUUCAAAGGGCUCACCUACCAUUUAAUCCAACAGAAGGGCUCUCUGUCAAAGUGGCUAAUGGGCAAGCAGUUCGUAGUGAGGGGAGUUGUGCAGCAGUAUCUCUACAUAUGCAGGGUAAUCUCUAUACCAUUGAUUUUUACAUUUUGACCCUAGGAGGAUGUGAUAUUGUUUUGGGUGUUCAAUGGCUUCAAACCUUGGGACCUAUCCUUUGGGAUUUCUCAAGACUUCAAAUGGAGUUCUCAGUUUGAGACAAACCUCGAAAACUACAAGGUAUGUCACCAACUGGUAUCUCAUUAGUAGAAGGAGAAAAAUUUGGUAAAGUUUCUAGGCAAAAUAAAAGAGGAUUAGUUAUUCAGCUUAUUGAUUUUGAAAAUUCCAGUUUGCUGUCCAUUGAAAAUUCUUGUGAAAACCUGAGUGUCCUCCUUGUGGGCUACUAUGCAGCAAAUAAAGAAUUUGUUCUCUCAACUCCUUUGAAGCUGGAAUAUACAAUCUUCCUUUGUAAAAUAAUAAUCCAUCCCUUUGUUUAUAAUUUUGGGAUGCAAGACUUCCUUGUUCCAAAUUUUUAAUAAUCUGCUGCAAUUUAGGAUCUAUAGCAUAACUUGUUCUGAGUUGUUCUAGCCAAGUGUUAGCUGGUGCAGUAAUAGCAUAUAGCUUCCCUUCCUUCUGAUCUUCCAUUUUUCUGGACAGGGCAUCAGCAACCUUGUUUUCCUUUCCUUGUUUGUAUUCUACCACAAACUCAUAUCCCAAAAGUUUGGUAAUCCAUUUUUGCUGAAGAGGAGUACCCAUCUUUUGUUCCAGCAAGUACUUGAGACUCUGCUGGUCCGUUUGUAUCUUAAAGUUGUGUCCUAAAAGAUAAGACCUCCAUUUCUUCAUUUUGAAAGUAAGGGUAUCUAUAAGGCCCUACACAAACUGGUUUUGCACCUGAAUGUAAUACAAUAUGGUGGUCAUGAUUUCGAGUAGGGGGCAAUCCUUUUUCAAAAGGGCUGUUAAGGGGGCUGCUAUAAGUCCAUAUCCUUUGAUAAAUUUUCUGUAAUAUCCAGUUAAACCUAGGAAGCCUCUAAGGGAUUUAAGGCUGGUAGGAAAGGGCCAGUUAAGCAUUGCUUCAAUUUUGGUAGGAUCAGCUUGUACCCCAUCUUUUGAGAUUAGAUGACCAAGAUACUCAAUUUCAGAACAUCCAAAACAACAAUUUCAGAACAUCCAAAACAACACUUAGAUUUUUUUGCAAAAAGCUGGUGCUGUUUUAAAAUGUCUAAAACAGUUUGUAAAUGAUGGACAUGGUCAGCAAGGUUUUUACUAUAGACAAGAAUGUCAUAAAAAAAAACCAAUAUAAACUUUCGUAAAUAAGGUUUAAAGAUGUCAUUCAUAAGACUUUGGAAGGUUGCCGGGGCAUUGGUAAGCCCGAAAGGCAUUACCAAGAAUCCAUUGAAACUUCUGCUGAGCCACUAAUAUAUGACCUUCUUAACCUAUAUCCAGAAGUGUUUUCAGAACCCAAAGGAUUGCCCCCUACUCGAAAUCAUGACCACUGAGUUUGUAAGACUCAGCCAGUCCUCUAAGUUGGUUUGAAAGAGCCUCAAAUUGGCUCUUAUAAUCUUCCACUGUUGAAGUUUGCUUUAACCGAAUAAGAGCUUCCAUGGGGUCUUCAUAAGGUGAUGAUCCAAACCUUGUCUGAAGUGCACGUACAAAUCCCUCCCAACUACGUCUGAAGUGCACAUACAAAUCCCUCCCAACUACUAAUUCCCCCUGCAGCUUCAAUGUCCUGGAACCAAACCAAGGCCUUCCCUUCCAUAUGGAAGGAUGCCAAUAGGACUCUGUGAUGUGGAUUGGUUUGAUGGUAAUUGAAAAAUUGAUCAGCUCGAUAGACCCACCCACUGGGGUCUUCUCCAUUAAAUUUAGGAAAAUCCAACCAUACUGCACGAGUCUGAAUUCCCCCAUUAUCUUCAAGAAGAGGGUUAGUCAUUUGUCGUUUAGACCCUUCUGAAUCACCUGAAUUAUGCUUAGUCUUCAUUUGCACUAAUGUCUGCACAUUGGAGGCAACCACUUCUAAUUAAUGGGCCAGCCCUUCAACCACUUGUUGCAAAGAAUUAUGAUUUUGCUGAUACUGCUCUUGAUUUUGUUUGACAGCUGCCAAAGAUUCAGCAAGCUGGGAAUAUCUGGUACCUGUACCCUCAGCCAUUGGAACGACCUGGCUCUGAUACCAAUGUCACGUUCAAGCUUAAGAAAAUGUUGGAUUAAUUCGAGGAAAUCCAAAGCCUCCAAUACUCACUGAUUGCAACUGUUUUGAUACCUUUCUCAUUAACAUGAAAGACUUAAAUACAACUGAAAAUAACAACUGACUCAAUCCACGACGCUGAUAUUCAGCUAACAACCCAACCUAAAGACCUAUUCUUAAGCCAAAAUACUUGGCUGUGAAUUAACGGAUGAUGCCCACGUACAAUUAUUGGACCCAAAUAAUUAAAUUAAUCAACUCAACAUGACUCUGACUCAACCAAAUUAAAUAAUAAGCAACCAACAAAUUAAAUAAUAAGCAUUACACAACUGGGCCCCAAGUGCACAUGACAGUAUUGUUUUAUAUUUAUAAGGUUGUUCUAUUGGAUUCAUCAAACCAUUGUGUGGAUCUACUAACAAAAGGGAGAGCCAAUUGAUCUCUUUAAUUUGUUGGAUAUUUCUACCUUUUUAAUUUUGAGUUCAUAGUUGGCAAAUCAUAGUUGUGCAUUUCCACCAAUAUUUAGAUUUUUUUUAUUUUUCUUUUUUAACUUUUGAUCAAAGUUAUGUAGUGGUUGUAUUUUUUUUGGCAAGAUUUCUUAUGCAAUGAGUAAUCCAACUUCGGUGAUAUUUUAAGUUACCAACCAUGCUAAAAUCUUCAAAGGACUCAAUGUUGAGGUGUAUCGGCUAUAAGGGAUUGAGAAUAAAGGUAAAAUACCAUGUGGAAGAGAUCGAUGAAUCAAAUCCUAACAAAAGUGGGAUUUGAUUUAUAUAAGAAUAAAUUUUGUAUUUCUAUUUUCAUUCCAAAAAAUAAUAUAUUCAAAUAUAAAAUGAAUGGAAAAUGAAAUAAAUUUUUCAAAAGAUUGGUAUCUUGUUGGAUUAGAGUUCUUUGUUUCAUAAAUUUUCUCUAUCACAAGUUGCCAACAACAAAUGGAAGCCGUCCGCUAGCCUUAUAUAGUCUAAGCAAGGUUUUGGCUCGUUCGAGGGUUGACUCGAUCAAGAAUAAUCAACCUAGUAGUUAGAUCAAUUAACCAAUUGAAUCAAUUGGGUUUGGAAUGAGUGUUGAUUGUUUUUUCUAUAACUUCAAAAUAACAUAUCAUUUUGCUCCCAUCCUAGACCCAAAAGUUGAAAUUUAGAUAAAAUUUUGGGAAAAGUCCAAAUAAAUAGAGAUGAUGUUGGAAUAUUGAUCAAUUUUAAUUUUUAUAUUUAUAUCUAGUUAUUUAAUUAUUUUAUAUUAUUUAAAAAAAUUCUUAUUCAAUAACCAAUUCAACUUUAAGAACAUUGAUAUGUACACCUCCAUGAUUUUAAUAUUCAAUGGAGUUUAUUUUGUUCUUGUUGUCACUUUUGCCAUCAAGUAGAAUUCCUAUGAGAACAUUUUUGGAUUGACUUUUGAAAAUCAGCUAUGGUUUUAAGUCUAAUAAGAAAGCAUGUUCAAUUAAUUUUAGAAGAAAUAUUUAGGAUCUUUCUAUAAAAAAAAAGUACUACUCAAUACCAUAUCGAAAAGCACCAUCCUAUUAUAGACAAGAAAGUCUUAUUCCUUUAUACCAUAAAUGAACCAAAAAAAAAAAGUCUUAUUGCUUUGUGUCUUAAAAAUAAUCUCUUUUUUCUUUUCUAAAUCAAAGUCUCAUUUUUUUUUAAUUUUUUUAUUUUACCUUCAUCAUCAAAAAUUCCCAUACCAUUCAAUACUUUAGCAUUUUGAAAGCAAAGACAAAUGCUUUCCAUAGGAGGCCUCUUCUAAAAAUUUACCUAAAUAUUUUUUCCUCAUACUUUCUAUAACCUAAACCAAGUCUUUAGGUUUUGAAUUCUAUAAACCCUAACAAAGGAAUAAAAUUUUCCCUCAUGGUUCCUAUGAUUCACAUUGAGUCUUAGGUUUUCAAUUUCUAGAAAUCCUAAUGAGGGGAAAAAAAGUAUUGAAUAAGAAGGGGUUUAAAUUUCCUAAAAACCCUAAUGAGGGAACAAAGUGUCAAGCUAGAAAGGAAGAAACUUGUUCCCUCGCUCUUUCUAUGACCUAAAACCACAAUACCAAGCAAAAUGUGAAGUUGAAAAGGGAAGAAACUUUAUUACUUCGAACUCUCUAUGACCAGAACCAAACAUUCGGUUUUCAUUUCCUAAAAACCCUUAUGAGUGAUACAAAGAUUUGAAUCCUCAAAUUUUUUGGAACAAAGGUUUCCCUCAUAGUUCCUAAUUUCUAUGAUCCAAACCAACUCUCAAGAUUUUGAUUCCCGAAACCACAAUGACCGAACAAAAUGUGAAAAGGGAAGAAACUUUAUUACUUCGAACUCUCUAUGACCGGAACCAAACAUUCGGUUUUCAUUUCCUAAAAACCCUUAUGAGUGAUACAAAGCUUUAAAUCCUUAAAUUUUUUGGAAACAAACAUAACCUUAAGGUUUCAAAUUUUAAAAACCUAUAUGAGGGAACAAAGGUUUCCCUCAUAGUUCCUAAUUUCCAUGAUCCAAACCAACUCUCAAGACAAUGACAAGUUGAAAAGGGAAGAAACUUCAUUAUUUCAUACUACCCAUGACCGGAACCAAACCUUUGGUUUCCAUUUACUAAAACCCUAAUGAGAGCGAGCCUUAGGAUUUCAAUUUCCAAACAUCCUAAUGAGGGAACAAAGUGUAAAGUUGGAAGGGCUCUCUCAUCUAACAAUUCUAAAUGCUAAGGUAGGCAAAGAAAACUAUCAUUUAAUUGCAAAGAAACAAGGAGUACAAGAGAGCAUACACGGUUCAAGCCAAGCCUUCUUCAAUUACAAUAUCUAACCCAUCUACAAAUAUUCUUAUAUAACAAUUGUGAAGAUUGAGUCUCAUUUUGAGGUAAUGACAGCCCAAAUCAUUGUUAUUUGGUCAGGAUAACAAGUAAUGAGAGAUAUUUUCUAAGAUUUCAGGAAUCAAAGUUCAAAAGUAAAUGCUAAAAAUGCAAAUAAGUCAGUCUGAAGUAGGGAUUAGUGAGUUUGAAGAGUGUACUUACAGGUGGCUCAAAGACAAGAAAUGGAUGAGAAGACCAUCGCUUCAGUCCAACGUAUCCUGACUCUAUGCGGGAGUUCUUUUCAAAUGCUUGAAAUGUCAAAUGACAGCUUUGCUGUCCACACUUCUUUCCUUAUUUUAACCCACACUUCUUUCCUUAUUUUAGCCUACAAUUGUUUCCUUAUUUCUCCAUUUAUUAUUCUGUACAGUUAGCAUAUAUUAUUUGACAGAUUAUAGUUUACAUGUAUAGGACUAGAAUCAUGAGGGAAUUUAUUUGUUUUUAUUUGCUUUCCAUGUAUAGCAUCCUUGUAAAGUCUAUAUAUAAUAUACAAAACUCAAGGCCAAGGUAUUCGACCAUUCAUACAAUAUUUUGACAUGGUAUCAGAGCUUGUGUUCUGAACCUAGAGUUUACACGCUUUCUAGUUUUUCUUUGGGUUUUCUCGGAUUUAGCCCUAGGGGCUCUCGGAUUUAGCCCUAGGGGCUCUCGGAUUUAGCCCUAAGGGCUCUCGGAUUUAGCCCUAGGGGCUCUCAAACUCUAGCCCAACUUUUUGGUUCUUUUUUUUUUUUUUUUUUUCUGGUGGUUGUGACAACACAUCUGUGAUGUGAUCUUGGAGUUUUCUUUGGGUUUCUUCGAUUCUAGGCUCUUGGAGAUCUUCGAUUAUUUGGAGGUUUGUUAUCAGAUUUAGGCACUUUGACGAUGUUUUUUUUUUUUUUUUUUUUUUUGUUUCCUAGGCUAUUUCUGUCUUCAUAAUGUCUGGAGAAUAUUCUAUUGUUCGUUUCAAUGGCAAAAACUAUCUUAGUUGGGACUUUUAGUUUAAGAUGUUUGUGAAAAGUAAGAAGCAAGACAGAGUCUCUAAGUCAUCUACGGAAUCUGAGUACCGGGCGAUGUCUCUUGCUUGUUCUGAAAUCAUUUGGCUUCGAGGUUUGCUUGCGGAGUUAGAUUUUUCUGAGACCGAUCCUACACCUCUACAUGCCGAUAAUACAAGUGCUAUUCAGAUCACGACCAAUCCUGUCUAUCAUGAGCGCACAAAGCAUAUUGAAGUGGACUGUCACUCUAUCCGUGAAGUCUUUAAAGCUCGUGUUAUCACUCUUCCACAUAUUUUCACUGACUUACAAAUUGCUGAUAUCUUCACCAAGGCUCUCCCUCGUCAUCGACAUUGCUUGCUAAGUAGCAAAUUGAUGCUUGUUGAUCAACUUGCAUCAAUUUGAGGGGGGCUGUCAAAUGACAGCUUUGCUGUCCACACUUCUUUCCUUAUUUUAACCCACACUUCUUUCCUUAUUUUAGCCUACAAUUGUUUCCUUAUUUCUCCAUUUAUUAUUCUGUAUAGUUAGCAUAUAUUAUUUGACAGAUUAUAGUUUACAUGUAUAGGACUAGAAUCAUGAGGGAAUUUAUUUGUUUUUAUUUGCUUUCCAUGUAUAGCAUCCUUGUAAAGUCUAUAUAUAAUAUACAAAACUCAAGGCCAAGGUAUUCGACCAUUCAUACCAUAUUUUGACAUGAAAUAUGUUCCAACCCCACUCUUGGUAUGUCUUGUUGCCAGUUAAACGCCAGAGGUAAAACAGUGAUUCAACUGUCUCGGGCCUCAAUAUGUUCCAUGAUGUACCCACACUCAUAUCCUGUAAAUGUUUUAGAUGGAAGUGAGAUUGGGCAGUAAAAGAAAUAACUAGUAUAUAAAAAGAAAAGAGAAAAACUAACCUGCCCAGAGUGGAAGAAAUAGUUCUCUCGAGCCAAUUUUGUUGGUGUUGACUGGUAGAAAUUAUAGCAUGUCCAGGCAAGCUGCAAAAAAUAUGCCAAGCAAUUCACUCAUAGGAACCACAUGAAAAGCAUCCAAAUGUUGGAAAAGUAAGAGAAAACUCAGGGAGGGCAGAAGGAAUCAUUACAAUUCCUUCCCUUAGAACUGCAUGUGAAAUUUUCAUCUCAUAUGGCUCUUUCAUUAUAUGCAAAAUGAUGAUAUUACAUGGAAUAAAUAAAAAAUUGAAAUACUAUCAUUAUAAACCGGGUAGGGCUUGUGAUUUUACAAGAAGCCUCUAGCUUAUUAAGUUCUUAAUGUCAUGGGAACAUCAAAAAAAUCAGUGGCUAGUGCUAAUGGAGACCAAAACAAUGCUGUUCUAAAGCUUGAUAUUUCCCUUAGGGCUUCUCCUUGGUCUGCAAUUGUCAUUUUGGAUGUUGAUACAAUAAAGUCUAGGGAGUUGACAUUUUUAGGUUCAAUUAAUCCUACCAUUAGUAUAUGCUUAUCCAACACCUGAUUUUAUUGGAUGGACACACUUGAAGACAGUAAGCCUAGAUGACUUACCCUAUAUUUCUAUUAAUCAUGGUAAUUUAUGAAAAAAAAUUAAGCUAAUGAAUAUUCUUCUCUAUUGUUCACCUUGAGAACAAUCAAUUGUUUGCUCAGUUGUCAUAUCAAUUCUAUAAGUUUUUAAAACUUGGAUAUCAAUUCUAAAAGUGCUUAGUAGUUUUAAGGGUCUCUAACAUACUACAGGGACUAGGGGUUGCACUAAUCUUAUUUUGCCAUUUAGCUCCAUCGAAAAAAAAAAUAUCAUAAACAAAUCAUUGAUGAUGUUCUGAAAAUGAUUCUAUGCAUGUAACCAAAGAGGUCUUCUUUGUCUUUGAGUGGCAUUUAAUUUUUGUGAAGCAAAUCACACAUAUACUUCUGUUGAGACAAGAAUACAUCAUCAAAAAAAGGCUUCACUUCUACUCCAAGAAAAUUGUUCAGUGAUCCAAGUUCCUUAAUUCAAACUCUUAGCCAAGACGUUCAAUUAAAAUUUGAACAAAAUCAUCAUUACUCACUAUGAGAAGAACAUCAUCCAUGCAUAUGAGAAUAAUAGUUGUAAUAUCAUUGGUGCGAUAGACAAAGAGUUAAUUAAGCAUUAAAUUUGUUAUAAUAGAAGCAAGUUGUAGUAGAUAUUAAGACAGUUGAUCGAACCAAGAAUGAGGUGCCUACUUCAAUCUGUAGAAAGACUUUUUAAGUAAGAACAUGGCCUUGCUUGGUGGAAUCAAUGAACCUCAACGGUUGCUCCAUGCAAACAUCCCUCUCAAGAUUUUUUUGAUGUUCCCAUGACAUUAAGAACUUCAUAAGCUAGAGGCUUCUUGUAAAAUCACAAGCCCUACCCGGUUUAUGUGUGGAACACUCUCUAGUGUUCAUGUUCAUGCAAUCAUGCUACAUAUUUAAGUCAAAUAAGGAUUUCAGCAGAAGCCAAAUCACAUCAUGAUGUAUGCAAAAAUCCAACCAGUAGAAGGUCAAUUUUAAGUCAGCGUCAAACCAAGUCAAGUAAAAACUCCAGGUCAUUGUUGAGUAAGCAAGCAGCAGCAAUUACAUAGUGAAAAUGGUAAAUGCAUUCUAUUUUCCCUCAUGCCACACAACUAAGAAACAUAAUUUCCACACCUAAGCCCAAGACACAUUUUAUAACUUCACACAACUCAAAAUAGAAUAAUAAAUCAACAGAAGGCAAUAAUAAACAAAUAAAUAAAUAGAUAAAUAAAACAACUUUCCAAUAAAUAGUGACAAAAGAACAACCAGAAACCAGACACUUACUCCAGUCCAUCCAGGGUUAUGGGCAUUUCCAUGUGCCAAGUUAAUAAUGUUGUAGGGUAUCCCAGAAGGUGUAUUCCAGGCAGGCAGCAACCUAUCUGCAGUAUCUCUGGCUUUUUCAAGGAAAAGUUUGUCCUCUGAGAGAUCAUAUGCACUAAGUAGUCCACCGACAACUCAGGAUUUCAAUUAAAAAAAAAAGAAAAAACCAAAAAUGAUAAGUCAAAAAUGCAAGAUUUCAAUCCCGAGUUCAUCUUAGAGAUUGCAGGGUCAUCAUAGCCCAUAACUGGUCUUCCAAACAAGAGAAAGGACAAAUUAAACAAUCUACAUAUUAAACCUUAUAAUGCAACCUUUGGUCGUCUCAAAAACGCUAGCCUCAUAAUUCUUGUUGAAAUCCAAUGAGUUUGCAACCCACCUGCCAUGAAUAGCACAUUAGUAUUAAGCAGGAAAUUGAAUUACCAAAACUACAAAACAUGAAUACCAUAGGCAUGUAUUUAACAUGUGCUAAGGAAAAAAAUUGUAAUUUAAGAUCUUCAGAGAGAGAGAGAGAGAGAGAGGAGUAAACAAUUGAAAUAGGUAAACAAGGACUAGAAAAUCAUUCUUUUGGAGGAAAGCAAAUAGAAUUAAUUAGAGAGAAGGCUAGUAAUUAAUAAAAAUCAAGAAAAGAAAUAAUCUAAAAUAAAGACAACAGGAUUCCAACAAAUGAAAAGAGAGAGAAGAGAGAGGAGCCCUUCCAAACAGUGACCUUAGUAAACUAUGGAAGCCUCCUAAUGCUUUUUCUGGUACUAUGAGAGAAAAAGUAAAACAAUGUAACUGCUGCAUUAAAAAGAGAUAAAAUCCUAGUAAUUGAGACAGACGACAAUAGAAAGCUAAAACUCACUCUAAAUCUUUGGAAUUGCUCAUCUAGUCCCAUUAUAUAUAAUGUAUCAAGAGAAUCAAUUAAUGUUGCUCCAAGACCUCCAAAACUAUUAACACCAUUCUUGGAUUGUGGCUCUUAAGGAAAAAAAAUUGCAUGUUAGUUGUAGAACUUGAAUAAAAUGAAACAACAUCAUAAACACUAUGGAAAUACAAAUGCCACAAAUCUAGGAAUGUCCAUAAAAUCAUAGACAUCUAGUUGCAAAAUUGAAAUUUAAUUACUCUUAAUGUAAUUUGAUUAUUUGAGAGUUCCCCGGAAAGAAAUGAAUUUGGGAUCUUGUAACAGGUGGGUUUUUAAAGUAGUUAUAAAAUUUAAAUUUCCUUUUUCUUCUUUUGAUUCCUCAACAAUCCAAUAGAAAGAGCAUGAAGACAUCCUACAGAGUAAGCACAGGAACGGGGUCUUAAUACUGAUAAUACUCUUAACAUAUUACAUAUCUUUUGAAGCUCCAGAUGCAUAUCUAUAUAUAUAAGGUGAACCUUACAUGUAUGGUUUCCUCCCCAUCAUUGUCCUUCAGUGAUUUAAGAUUGAAGUCUUUUAAAAGCUUUUGAUGAAGCAUUUGUCAGAGUUGUCUAUAAAAAAUAUAGUAUUACUUCUAUUCUAAUAUGCAACCAUCUUUGAUUCAUAGAGAGAUUGAAAAUUUUUGUACUAAAACUACAAAAUAUAGGAAACAAUGUAGCAAAGAGUUUUCUCAUAUUCAAAAUUAUGAUUAUACCGUCUUUUGCAUUGCUAGUGGGGCAUUGGACAUAAGUACAAGAGCUAUAUAUGUAGACAUAAAAUAUAUGUGAUGAAAUAAUUUAGAAAGAUUCACCAUUUGAUCCUAUUCAAACAACCAAAACAGAAAGAAAAGUAGAAGACGAAGAAGAAGAAAGCAAAACAAAACAAAUCAAAAAACUAAAAAUAAAAAAACAGAUCAAUGAAACCUGAAGUUCAUUUUGUCCCCACGCAUACUUCUCAUAUGAACUCUAUGCAUGAAGCAUAGCAUCUUUUACUUUCUCCCUUCGCUGAAUGUCAAUGGGGUCAUCUGAAACAGUACUUUUCUUGGAGGAUUUACUAUUUCUGCCACUGAGGCCACCGACAUUCCCUCCAAUACUCUUCAAUUCAUCCAGUUGCCAAUAUAACCACACAUUCAGUCUACACAUACAUGUAAUGUAAUACCAACGGUUUCAAAAUGAGAGUAAAGUAAUGACAAGUCAGUAGACAGAGAACCUAAAUCAAUGGGAACAAGCUACAUGGAGGCAAAAAACUCUCAACUGUUUUCUAGGAAACUGGAGAAAAUAUAAUUUGGGGAACUUGGAGAAAAUAAAAUUUGUCUGAGUAUUUUGAAUUGGCCAAAAAUUUGAUUGAAUUCACACUGGGAAACAUAUAGCCUAGAAAUUUUCUAAUUUGUAAACAAUAGGUAUAGUAUUCCGGAAAUUAAAAAAACCAAAAAAGAAAAUAACCAUGGCAUGAACUGCUAAGCAUAUUCUAAUGGUUGAAGCUGGAUGACAACCAAAGAAUAAGCAUUUUAAAUUUCUUACCAAAUCUUGCAAAUGGACCAAUUCUGCAUUUAGCCUGGCAACCUCAAUCUGCAAAAUCCACACAAAUUUCUUUAAAUAAAGGCAACUGGAGAAGCAAUUGUCCCUCAAAUUGAAACAACAAGCUUCAGUUUUUAGCAUAAAUUUUUACCUAGGUGAAGAUACUCAUUACUUAAAAGUUCAUAUGGAAACAGCUAAUUACGGAACACUAAUUUGCUAUUUUAGGAGGAAAAAGGCCUGGUGUACUGGGGUUGCACCCCUUAUUUUUGCUAGGAUCCCUAAUACAACCUUUUAUGAUACGAGAACUUCAUUACAAACUGAUGAACAUAAGCACAAAGUAUUUUUGCAGUAAACUGAGGCAUUGUCAAUGGUACUAUUGUGUAACUUUUAGAUAUAAAAAUAUAACUUGGGAAAGGAUUUACACCCUUUCCAUCUCUCUUCUAUUGUCUUUUAUUCUUUCUUCUCCUCUCUUCUCUGCAUCCAAAUCCUCAUAGCAUCUCCAACUCAGUAUCAAGUUGAUCCGGGUGUAAUCAUAUUAGAAACUUUAAAAUAGAAUUUAGCAAUAGCAGAUAACGGGAGAUGACAAUAAACUUCAUUUGUUACAUCAUAAAAAUUAAAUUACUUAUUAAGACAUUUAUUUUUACAACAGUUUAUGGAAUAAUAAAUUAGAAAAUUCUAAAAAUAUGUUACAAAGAUUCUUUUCUAGGCCAAAAACGAUUAAUUAGUAAGUACCUAACAAACGGAGGCGCAACCUAGGUGUAGUGGAAUACAAGGAUCACUCAAACAUCAAAAUACAUGGAAACACUGCCUGCUCACUAGCCUGGGAUUAAGGCCAAUAGGUCCUGGAAUUCCAAGCACAAGAGCACCUCCUAUCCAAAAUCUUCCUGAGCAUAUAAAUAAAUAGCUAACAAAAUUUCAGCUCUAACUCCAAUUGCCCAAGACCAUACAAAUGAGGUUUCUAAGAUUUGUUUCCUUCUUAUGCCAGUAUAUAAGGAUUGCCUCCAUUUAGGGAAUUUCUUGCAAUUCAAUUUAUAAAUAUAGUCUUGCACAAGUAUAUUAGGAAUGCCUUCAUAUGAGAAUUUCUUGCAAUCCAAUUUACACAUAUACCAAAUUAGGCUAGACAGCCACCAGCCACCACCUCCCUCUAUAAAAUUCACAUAUUCUAAAGAUGAAAAUUCCCAAGUUGAGAAAAAUUGUCUCAUGAUUAUCUUUUAUUCGUUAGAACAUAGUUUUCUUCUUUUUGCUCAUGAAGACAUAUUUGCGCCUCUUGGAAUAUUCCAAGGGCCCAACCAACUAAUUUCUUGCUACAUCUUUCCCAUACACCUAAUCUCUUCUUCCCUAAAUUUCUGUAUUUCUUGCCAUUAUCUUUUCUUACUUCAAUUUUCUGUUCCCAUGGCCUUUCGGUAGCAUUAUUUUCUUGAAAUUUGCAUUCAUUCCAUCCAUGUCUCUGUUUCACUUAGUAAGGUGAACCCAACCUUCCUAUAGUUUUUCUCUUCAAUCUUCUUGGUUUCAUCACUUCCCAACUGUUCUCCAUUUCAAACUGUUUUUGCUUUUCCCACGACAGGAGCUUAUAUUGGACCUUGAACAUACCUGUACCUCUACCUGAAACCAAAAUAGAUAGGAGGGGAAAGAAUAUGCAAGCGUAUGACCUCAUUCUAAGGAAUUCAACAAAACAAACACAAAACUUUGUAAGAAGAGGUGCCUUCUCAUAAAGGGGAUUGCAGUGACCAGUUACCAGAAAAGGAAAGCUCUAUUUUCCAGGCUCUCCCAUAGUUGAUACUUUGGAACCACAAGAAUUCUUACUAAGAAUGAGGAUUGAUUAUCUGAGAUCCUUUCUUUCUCAUCCUUUCUUUCAUCAAACAGGACAAAUAUAUAUAGAAUCAAACUGAACCCAAUAAAUGCCUAUUCAUGGAAGAAUAAGCUUCAACAGAUUGAAGACCUUCAAUUUCCCAUACAUCCACCUUUUUCAAGAACUAUCCCACUAGAACCAUCCUUCUACUAGUGCUCUUUGCCCAUCUAAUAUCGAUUCUCUUCCUAUUCCCCAGAGUCAAACUGAUGUCUUAACUAAUCUCCCAAGUUUGGUGAAAAGCUCUGGUAAAUAUACACAGGAACUGCGAAAAAGAGUGCUAAUAAAUCAAAAAAUAACUUUUCAAACAUUUAUAAUUAAUCAAAAACCAAACUAAAAAAAAUCAACUUACCUUCCCAUGGCUGCGUGUGUGAAUCUCUUCUCCAUUAUGAUGCGUCAAAAGUGACAGCGGCUUUUCUUAAGUCCAAUGUGCAGCUACUACCACUAUCGUAUGGUGUGUCCUAUGGAAAUCUUUUCAACUAUGUAUGGAAGUCUUUAUGUGGCUGUGUGUGGAGAAUUCUCUCCAGUGGAGUCCCGUGCAGCUGCUUGUUGUGGAAGAUGCCGCCCAAACUGUGGUGCGUGGUUGCCUCUUCUGUGUGUGCCUCUUGCAGCCGCGAUUGGUGGACUCCAACUUCUCCAAUGGUGUGCUGUGAUGCUUCUCGAAUUGAUGGUCCCUUUCCUUGGUGUGUGAUGCUAAGAGGGAUCUCUAAUGAUGCAGACUGUGUGGUUGUGAGGGUGGCUGUGAAGAAACUCGUAUUCGCGUGUAAGAGAAGGCCCCUCUUAUAAUGCGUGAUUGACUCCCUUAGCGGACUGUGCAUUCUUCCAAGAUGGACUGUCUCCCUUUUCAGGCUGCUGUGUGUUGGUGCUUCUCCAUGAAGAAUGCGGACUACAAUGAAACUUUAGUUUUGUAGUUCGACCAACUUCUAUAUGGUUAAUAAUUGCCUUUCCUCAUCAUUCAAACAGAAGAUAAGGUAACUUAACAUUAAAAAUGCAUUCUUGCAAAGAAACCUUGAGAGGGAUGUUUGCAUGGAGCAACCGUUGAGGUUCAUUGAUUCCACCAAGCAAGGCCAUGUUCUUACUUAAAAAGUCUUUCUAUAGAUUGAAGUAGGCACCUCAUUCUUGGUUCGAUCAACUUUCUUAAUAUCUACUACAACUUGCUUCUAUUAUAACAAAUUUAAUGCUUAAUUAACUCUUUGUCUAUCGCACCAAUGAUAUUACAACUAUUAUUCUCAUAUGCAUGGAUGAUGUUCUUCUCAUAGUGAGUAAUGAUGAUUUUGUUCAAAUUUUAAUUGAACGUCUUGGCUAAGAGUUUGAAUUAAGGAACUUGGAUCACUGAACAAUUUUCUUGGAGUAGAAGUGAAACCUUUUUUCGAUGCUCAACAGAAGUAUAUGCGUGAUUUGCUUCACAAAAAGUAAAUGCCACUCAAAGACAAAGAAGACCUCUUUGGUUACAUGCAUAGAAUCAUUUUCAGAACUUCAUCAAUGAUUUGUUUAUGAUAUUUUUUUUUUUCGAUGGAGCUAAAUGGCAAAAUAAGAUUAGUGCAGCCCCUAGUCCCUGUAGUAUGUUAGAGACCCUUAAAACUACUAAGCACUUUUAGAAUUGAUAUCCAAGUUUUAAAAACUUAUAGAAUUGAUCAAUAUGACAACUGAGCAAACGAUUGAUUGUUCUCAAGGUGAACAGUAGAGAAGAAUAUUCAUUAGCUUAAUUUUUUUUCAUAAAAAUUACCAUGAUUAAUAGAAAUAUAGGAUAAGUCAUCCAGGCUUACUGUCUUCAAGUGUGUCCAUCCAAUAAAAUCAGGUGUUGGAUAAGCACAUACUAAUGGUAGGAUUAAUUGAACCUAAAAAUGUCAACUCCCUAGACUUUAUUGUAUCAACAUCCAAAAUGACAAUUGCAGACCAAGGAGAAGCCCUAAGGGAAAUAUCAAGCUUUGGAGAAAGGUUGUCGUUGUCAAAAUUGCCAUAUAAGAAAGUCACUCUUACAAGGUAUGUUUACCAUAUAAUAAACAUGAUUAUUUAAUACGGUUUGGAAUCUGAAAUGUGAUUGCUUGAAACCAUCACUCCUUAAGAGGUUUUAAUUACUUUACCGAAAACCAAAGAUUCACAUUCAACAGUCCUAAAUCUGUAGAAACCUAAAAAUAAUCUUGACUAAAUUUGCAUAAUCUAGGGUUUUGAAUUCACCUUAUGAGAAUUUUAGAUUCCGUUGAGAACAACACGUAGGGAAACUAUAGAGGAUUUGUAUCAAAGGCAAGCAUCAUCAAGAGCUCCACCAUCGACAAUCUCCAUGUGGUUCUAGUAAUCAAGUGAAGUGUCCUCAUUCAGGGAUGUAGAGGAGUGGAAAUUGACGACAACUAUGGCAGUGACUGGAGACGAAGGAGUGGACGCUAGGGCUCAAAGUAUCGGCCAAGUCCAGUACGACUUGGUCGAGUUGUAUCUGCCUCGGACCUUUCCCAGUCGAGUCCGAUAUCUGAUACCAUUUUCAACUCAAACUCUGCCAAAAAUUGGUUAAUCUCAGUCAUCAGCAUGUAUGGGAGGAUUUGUGGGAGCGACCAUGUACUUCUUAUUUCUAAAAUAAAUAUAAGAUAGGAGUACAAACAAAUCACCAUGUCCACAAUGCUACCAUACACACAAUUCUCAAAUUAGUUGCCACUACAUAUCUCAAUGCCAAUUUUUCCACUAAAUUUUACCUCCAUCCAAUUCUUUGCACACAGAUGAAUUUAAGAUGCAACAAUACCAACAUGUUUGGACACGACUUAUGCUAACCUCUAUUAAAAUUAUGUGAUUGUAUCUAACUUUUCUUCUAGUGAUAUUCAUUGAUUGAUGCAAUUAGCAAUGUGAUUUCCUUUCAAGUAAAGUGAUUUUCUUUCCAUUAAAGCUUAUAUUUACUCGUAUAUAUUUUACCUAAAUUGGCGAAUGGAAAUAAGUGAGAUCUUAAUUCCACCUAUCUUCUUAUGGGACUUCUCACUAUUGAGUUAACAGAGUAAUAAAAUUCUCUAUAACCACCUUAAAACUAAGAGCAAUGACACAAUAUCAGAAAAUUAGAUAAAGCUGUAGAACUCAUCUGGAAAACCCCUUGGAACAAAUAAAACCAAGCCAAAUAGCCUAUACCCUAAGUUACAUAUGGAUAGCUUUCAUAAUAAGGGGCACAGGAACUCACUAGAAUAACAUUCCUCACAAGCAUAGACUGAGUGGAACUUGGGCCAACAUUAUUACCUUAUGGAAAGAGCUGUCCACCUGACCCUCCAAAGUUCUUUCCAUUAUCAUACUGGGUAGGGUGGGCUUCUGUGUUGAAGACCCACUCAUCUAAUGAUAUGACCGAAAAGGGUGAGAAAAGAAGAUAGAGAUAUUUUAGUGUCUCAGGGAGGAAGAAGCUUUGCAUCAUAUUGUCUUUGACGCCAGUGUUAACUUGCAAAUACCCUCAACCAGCAGAGUAAGUAAUGAGCAGCACCCUCUGAUCAGCAGCCACAUGAUAGGUGGGCAUGCAGUAGAAUCGAGAAUCCAUUAUUUCAAAUUCGUGAUAUCAAAACAAACACCAUAGUCUUCACUGACAACAAAAGGAAGUAAUUGAUGAGAUAAUUGGGCAGACUACAUUGCUGGGUUGGUGUCAGGUUUAUCAGAUUUAUAUUUUCUCAGCCUUCAUGGAUGGUAAUCUGAAGUAAAUACAACAAAAGUAUGGAAUCAGACAAUCUGAAGUGUAGACUAGAGAGUUUGAGGAGUGUGCUAACAUCCUUCAGUCCGACAUAUCCUGACUCUAAGCGGGAGUUCUUUUUAAACAUUGUCUCUUUCUCAAACAUUGUCCCAAAUUACAAAAGUUGUAAUUUAAUGGGUUGAAAGUAUUCACCAUGUAUAACCAUUCCAAAUACGUACUUUCACCAUUGCUUUACUGGCCAAGUUCACAUUCUACAACAAAAAACUUUUGACAGAUGACACUAGUAGCCUUCUCAUCCUUCUCUUCAGACAUUUCAUCUAUCAUAUACUUGAUAUGCAGCAUCAAGUGAAAACAAAUAACAAAACAAAAAUAAACAAGAAAGCAAUCACACAAAAACAUAAAAUAUUAACACAAUUUGAUAAUAUGCCCACAUCCAUUGAAAAAGAAGAAAUCAAUUUAAAUUUACUAUACUACAAGGAGUAAUUAUAUUUCCUAGCCUCUCAUAUUUCAAAAUCUCAAAUCACAUAAAAAAGGACUCACCAUUUUAAUCAAAAUACCUUUUUAUAUUCUAUGCCCUCUAAGGUUGAUUCAAGUGAUAAAGAGAGGGUUUGUGGGUAGUUCUAGGUUGAAGUCUCAAUAGAAACAAAAACUUGAACAUAUAACUUCUUAUAACUUAUUUUUACAAUAAAAAAAAUGGUUUCAUAAGACAUUCCCUUUAUAAUAAUAGACAAAAUAUUAUCAAAAUAGAAAAAUAUCGAAUAUCCAAAAGGAAAUUUGAGACACUUUUAAAUAAACAUAAAGCAAAAUAUUUAUCUCAAAAUAGAGGAAAGAUCAAGGUUCUUCCCAAUCUUAAAGUAUUCUUCACAAUUAAUGUGAUUAUUUUCACAUUUAAAGCUUGUAAUUAUACAAUUAAGUAUACCCAAAAUUACAAAUAAUAUUAUUUCUAUCUAAUGAUUUCUACCAUGUAAUGCUCUUCCUCUUUUCAAGCAUAAUGAUCUAUAGACAAUUUUUUCCACAAUACUGAAGUAGGCUUCACACCAAGAUUUCUUGAUUGCUAAAACAAAAUAUGGACCUAAAAUACCCAAAGCAAAUCCAAGCCCGAUACUAAAGUAAAACCACUGAUCAAUGAAGUCAUCAUCAUUUUCAUCUUCAACAGUACCUUGCCCCUUAUCUAAAUCAUCACCUUGGCAUUUAGCAACAAGUGGAGGUCCACAAAGAUGAGGGUUUCCAACAUAGGCAGACUCACCAAAAGUUGUCAUUUGUCCUGUAAAGGGGAUCUUGCCAGAGAAAUUAUUAUUUGAUAGAUUCAAAUAACUCAAAAAUGUUAAUAAAGACAUGCUCCAAGGAAUAAGGCCAUAAAGAGUGUUACUUGAUAGAUCAAGAGAUGACAAUUCAUGUAACCCUGAGAUGUUUUCCGGAAUCGAGCCAUUAAUAUGGUUUCUUGACAAGUUGAGAAUCAUUAAACCAUAUAACUUUGUUACGUCUUUUGGAAACUCUCCACCAAAGUUGUUGCUGGAUAGAUCUAUGCUAAUUAUGAGAGAAAGAGUCUUGAUAUAUUCCAGAUCUUGGCCUUUCGCAGUCACGAUCAAACUAUCAUCAUAAACUCGCCUUGUAUAAGAGACUCCGAGUGUAUAGCGACUUAUAUUUUGCUUUUGAGCCAUUGCUUUAAGAUCACCCAAACAGGCUGGAAUGCUACCACUCAAAUUGUUUUCAGCAAGGUCUAAGAUAUGCAAUGAACUUAAAUUUGACAGCUCAAAAAGAAGCCCUCCUGAAAAUUUGUUGGACCUCAACUUAAGAAUUCCAAGGGAUGUGAAAGCAGCUCCAAAUGCUGGAAUAUUACCCGAUAAUGAGUUGUAACUGAGAUCAAGGAUUUCCAAACUCAACAGGUAUCGGAAAGACGAAGGAAGUUCUCCUGACAGAUUGUUCUUGUCUAGGUGAAGUGAUUGAAGCCAUUCUAACUGACCAAAAGAUUUUGGAAUAGUCCCAGAUAAAUUGUUCUUUCCAAGGUGUAGCAUGCUUAGGUGAGGGCAAUUACUUAUGGUUGAAGGAAUGCUUCCUGUCAAACUAUUCCUUGAAAGAUCAAUGAUCCGAAGACUCUGCAUAUAUCUUAUAGACUCAGGGAUGAUUCCUUUUAUUUGAUUGCCUGAAAGAAAAAGGAAGCGCAAGUGUGGCAUGGAUUCACCUAUCCUGGCUGGGAUAGGACCAGAAAAUUUAUUGUUGGAUAGAUCAAGUGAGAGGCACCCAGGUUUUGGUAGAGGAAUUGGACCCUCAAAAAGGUUGGAGUUGAAAUCAAUAGAUACCCCAGGGGUCAUAUUUAACUGAUUUGGUAACUGACCCUGUAACUGGCUGAAAGAAAGACUUAAAAACCGUAGUUGAUGAGAAAUAUUCCAAAACCAAUUUGGGAUGGAACUUGAGAGUAGUAAGUAUUUCCAGCUGACUCAACCAUUCUGGCAAUCUGCCCUUUAGUUGAUUGUAGGACAAGUCCAAAUACAACAGUUCUGGUAAAAGACCGUCAGAACUGCAGUUUUUGGUUUCUUUGAGAAAUUCAAGUAAGCUUCCUAUCAAGGCAUUGUAACUCAUAUUCAAGUAUUUUAAGUUGCAAAAACUCCCAAUAGAGCUUGGGAUUGUACCUGCAAUCACAUCAACAGUAAAAAAAAAUAAUUAAAACAAUUUAAUUUAAAAUAUUUUUAAUAAAUAAUUUGAUGAGUGAUAAAAUAAUGAAAAAAGUAUGAGAUUCUAAGAACAUUGAGAAUAACAAUUUUUCUAAGUAGGAAACUUACCAAGAAAGUUAUUUCCUGCCAAAUUCAGAGCUUCUAUCUUCUUCCAACUUCCCCUUAACAUUUGAGAGUAACUACCUGUGAGAUUCAUGUUCCAAGAUAGAUCUAAGUACCGCAAGUUAGGUAAUUCACCAAAGCUUGGUGAAAUCUGCUCGUAUAACUGAUUAUGGCUUACAUCAAUGGAUACAAGGCUACUAAGGUUUAGAAGCCAUAUUGGAAAUUUUGAAUUCAAGAAGUUGUCACUGAUUCUUAUAACAGAGAGUGAAGUAAGAUUAAUAGAGCUCGGAGAUGAAACUGAACCAGACAGCCCACAGUCAUGUAGAUGCAACUCUAUUAAAAAUGGAAGCUUGUUUAAUGCCUCUGCCCAAUGAGAUCCUACCAUUGAAAGGUUGAUGUAGUUCAUCCUAAGAUGCUUCAAGGAAACAUGACUAGUCAUCCAUUCAAGGUUAUUAACAAAUAAAUCAUAAGACAGAUCAGAAGAAAGAUCGAGAAAUUGCAAACUAAUGAGGUUUCCCAAGUUUGGAGGAAUGGCACCACUAAACCCACAAUUUGAUAGAUUUAGGUAUUGUAGAUUCUUCAAAGAUCCAAAGAAUUUUGGAAUUAGGCUAUGCUUAAAUGAGUUGCCACUCAAAUCUAAAUAUCUCAAGGAUUUGAGUUCUAUCAAUGAAGGUCUAAUCUCCCCACUCAAGUUCAUAGGGCUCCAUUUUUUAUAUGCAUCCUCAUGAGCAUACGAGCUAUGAAGAUCUAUUGAAAUAACAGCUCCUGUAUUAUUUUUGCAACCAAUUCCCUCCCAUUGACAACAAUUGCCUCAUCUCCAUGAUGAAAGCCGAUCACUAGAACCUUUGAGACCAUUUUUGAAGUCAAUAAGAGCAUCUCUAUUUUCCCUUAAGCAAUUUCCCAAAAGAAUUUCACCUUUACAAAUGAAUUCUCUUGUUGUUAACAUAGAAUGAUUGAAAGGAAACUAAGAAUUGAAAAUUUCUCCAUCCGGGAACACCCGUAGAAACAAGUAACAAUAAGUUCCAACACAACAAUAAAAAUAGUGACAAAAUUCGAUAAGUAGCGGCAUCAUGAUAUUAGACAAUAAAUAACAUAUUUAAUUUAACUACUCAUUAGUUUAAUAAGAUAAAAAAUGUUAAGUGAACAACAUACUUGAAGACAUAUCAAGAAAACAUUAUUGUGACCAUCUCACCAAAUGGCAAAUAUGCUCAGAUGAUUGUUAUGGAUCAAAACAUUCAAACUACAUAAAUAAACCACAGGGGGGAAAAAAGGCAUUAGGAAUAAACACUAGGAAUAGUGGCAUUAUUACUCAUGAAGUAGGAUUUUACCUAUUAUCUCUAUUUAGGUUGUCCUCAAUCCUUUCGUUGCAGAGAAAUAUAUAGAAGAUAAUUCAAAAAGAAGCCAAGUGGAUGAUAGUGAUAGUUAAUCCCUUCUUUAAUUUUAGCUAUAUUUUUAAAAUUAGAUUGGACAAAUGGUUCAAUUGUCAACCAAUCCCUUUUGGUUUGGGUGGCCUUUUCUUGACCAUUUUGGGCUUAAAUAGGUGGAAAACUGGCGAUUACUACUUGAUUAUGAAUUAAUAUUACUUUUAAACUCGAUCCUUGAAAAUUCCAAUACUUCAACAUUUCACUUCAUUAAUAGCCUAAAUAAAUUUAAAAAAAAAACAAAAAUAAAACAUCAAUAAAAUUUAAUCACUUGACAAGAUUUGUAAGUCCAAAAUUUUGAUACCAUGUUAUAAGCUAAUAAUUUAGCAUGAUAAUAUAUAUUACCAAACAUUUGGUUUAAUAAGAAUAAACCUAAUCUAAAUUCUCAUAACUAUUUAUUGGGUUGCUACUAUAUAUCAAGAAAAAUCUCAUCGUUAACUAUGCUUUUUAAAAUUAUCUUCUAAGGAAAAAGACUUAAGUUAUUAUCUCUUUAAUUUUUUUGGAAAGAAAAAGGACUCAAUCUAUCAUUUUGGUCCAUAACUUUGACUUUGUGCCCUAUCCACUUGUCCCUUUGAGCAUGACUUUGUUACUACUUGUGCAACAUGAGAAAAAAAUGGGCUUUUAAUUAUGAAAAAAAUCUUUAUAAUAUCCCACAAAGGGUUAUACAAGUCAUGUACGUUUCACAAUCUUAUAAAAAAAAUUAAGAAAAAAAUAAUAAUAUAUCAUGAACAAAUUUUAGCAUACCACUUCAAAAUAAAUAAAAAUUUUAAAAUAUUUGAAAAUUUUAUAAUGAGGCUAUCAUUUAUGAUAGAAAGACCAUAGUUAUAAUCAACCUAUCCACUAAAGUCAGCUUUGGAUGGUUGCAAUUGUUUCAAGGAUUGUAUUUAUCAUAUUUAAGGUCAUACAUUGCCUCUUUUGAAAUGCAUAUUGCCAAAAGGCGAUUAGCCUUUCCAUAUCUCAAACCUCUCAAAAUUGUUCUAAUUUGCAAUGGGUGGUGCUGUGUUGUGCACGCGAGAUUUGAUAUAUAUUUUGGGGUAUAAGUCUUCAAAAUAACAUUUAGUAGGUAAAUAUAUGAUUUUCAUAUUUGUAAAGUCUUUGGAAGACUUUGUGAGUGGUGAAGGUUUUUCAUGUAAAUUAUACAUCCUUGUGCAUGAUUGGAGUUCUCAAUUGAUUUUAAUUGUUUACUUUCUUAAUAAAAAAAAACCGAUACAUGUUAGGCUAUAAUGAAAAGGACUACCUAUUCACCCCCCUUCCUUUUUUUUUACAUACUUUUGUAACCAAGAUCGCAAAUUUUUAAUAUACACACCAUUUUGAGGAAAUUUUUUUAGUUCCAAGUGAUGAUUUGAUAAAACCAAACUAUAGAGGAUUGAGUAUAUGUAACAAUCAUUUUUGGGUAGUUCUUAUAAUUGAUUCGUGCCCAGUAGGGUAUUUUAAUAAAAAAUAUUUAUAAAUCCUAUGACCUCAUACUAGCGUAGCAAAGCUACUAUAGUAUAGCAGCUCUAGGGUCGAACUCUAGGAUAGGUUUUCACUCUACCAGUGAUAGACUCAAGAUUAGAAUUUUAAUCUGAUGAUUUCCUCUGUCAAAAACUUAAAGUUUAAAAGAAAAUAAAAUUUGUUUUGAAAGUGGUGUUUGAAACUAAACUAACAUGGAACUAGGUAAAAAUGGAAGAAAGAAAGUCUCCUGGAGCUAAAGGUUGCUAGGAUCAAGUUCAGAAUGCAAAGUGGGAAAUUCCAGAUUUUUCUCCUCGCAUUGGGGACAACAACAUAAAGGAUGGUUGUUUCCCGAACCGGUAUAGGUUUAACAAUGAAGAUUUAAUCCAUAAAAAGUCAAUAGAAAUGGUAGUCAAGUUCCAUUAAUGGCUUUAGACACUAUGGGUCUUCACCUUGAGCCACUUUCCAAUGGCUCGUACAUGAUAACUAAUGGUCUGAUGUGGAUCUAGCAAUAAGUAUCCACAGAGAUCUAAAAGCUUAUCAUGUAUUGGUCAUUCAAAGUGAUUCUAAGGGAUUUAAAGCAAAACUUUAGAUUUUAAAAGCCAUUUAUGAACUCCAACUACCUGCAUUUAAAGCGUGAGAGUUUUCCACUUUUGCAUCUGGACUUUUCACCUAGCUUCCUUCACUCCAAGAAACCAAAGGUUUAGCCUCUCAUCCUCUGGGAAAACAUCCUCAGAGGCUGUUUGGCUAGUAAGAAAAUACAAUUAAAAUGAGAAGGUAAAGCAAAGCAAAGGCUCUGUAUUUUACUUCCUUACAAAACUGUACAAUGGUUUUCGUCUCCCUUUUCACACCUUUUCACACCCCCGAGAACAGGCUCCCGAGAUAUAUAUAUAUAUAUAUAUAUAUAUAUAUAUAUAUAUAUAUAUAUAAAAUUACAAAAUAUCUAUUUUAGGUUAUUCACCCUUUUUCCAAACUUAAUAACUAAGGAAUCCUAUGAUUGGUGGGUUACAAGGAGAUUUUGGGGAUUUAGACAACAAAUAUCUAAGGCAAAAUAUCUCAAAAUAUCCCAAAAUGUCGGUGGCAAAUAUUAAGAAGCUUCAGGAGAACACAACAGCACUGUGCAGAAUGGCUGCUCUCCCAUCCGACGUCAGAAUUCCGGACGUGGAAAGUGCGCGACAGCCGGGUGUAAAUGGCGGCGCGCAUCCGAGUGUAAAUGGCGGCAGCCGGGUAUAAAAUGGCGGUAGCCGGGUGCAACUUGGCGGCAGCCGGGUACAAUUGGCGGCAGCCGGGUGCAAAAUGGCGGCAGCUAGGUGCAAUUCCUAUCCGGAUAUGUGGUCCGGACGCCCUCCGAUGGUGUAUCCGGACGCCCUAUCCGGGUAUACUCCUUGCAUGGAUUCCAAAGAACUCUCCUCAAUCUCAUAUUGCUUUGGUGAUCAAAAAGCUAUCAAAACACCGAAACUUAACACAUUUUUUAUUAGAAUUGAUUGCAAGGGUCUUUAACAUGCCAAUUGAGUUAAAAGGUGAUAACUACUACUCAAAAGUGUUUAAAAGAGUUAAUUAAAAGCUAUGAAAUAUCACUUUUUGAGUAGUAAUCAAUAAUCUAGUUCAAUAUACUUUAUGUUCCAUGAAUUCUUUAGAAGAAUUUAAAAAUGAAUUUUGGUAUCAUAAAAUAGAAAUAUCUUAGUUACUAUUAUAAUUCCAUAUUUUUCUUGUGAUAACUCCAAAAAAAUAGGUUUGUUUUUUCUAUUCAAAUAAAAAGAACAUAUGUUGUUUAAAACGUGGCAUUUAAAUAAAAUUCAAAUGCUCUUCGACCGUUUUGCUUUCAUCACUGCAUUACCUUCUUCUAUCACUGCAUUAGCUUUACAAAGCUCUCAUUUUCCUAACAAGUAGUAGUAGUGCUAUUGCGUGAGAUCAUGUUCGGCAUAAUUUUGAAGAUGAUGUUUGACAUAAAAUACACUAUUGAUUCCUUUGUAUAAAAAAUAAUUGGGGAAUUUAUGUAACCAUACACCAAGGGGCAAAAUUUUGCCUUUUGGAAACUUUACUUUUUACUUUUCAAAUUCAAUGGAUUUUGUGGAAAAUAAACCACCUUUCAUACACUGUAAUAGUGAUAUUGAGGCCCUUCCAAAAUAUCCUCAUUCACUUUGACAUAAUCAAUUGCUCAGAAAAGCCAUGUUCCACUUAAGCCAAUGACAUGGCUCAUAUGACAUGUAGACACUCCACGUGGCAAUAUUUAAAAAAAAAAUAUUUACUAAAAUAUAAUAGUGAGAUUUACCCGAAAUUCUUUCUUCUGUGUUGAAUCAAAACCCUAAAUCCCUUCUUCUCUCUUGAGCCAAACCAAACCCCUAAAUCCCUUAUUCUCUCUUGAACCAAACCCCAAAUCCCUUCUUCUCUCUUUGAACCAAACCCCCCAAAUCCCUUUUUCUCUCUUGAACCAAACCUUAACUCCAAAAACCCAUAUUUUUUCACCUUCUUUCACAACCACAAUUCGCAAGGGGAGCUUGCAGUGAAAACAGAGAGAGGUGGUCCGAGCUGAGAGGAGCUUUCCCAGAUACGAAUGUAAUGGAUUUAUGAGUUAAUUUGGGUUGUUAUCGUUGCUUGUUGAGAUAUUUGACAGAAAAUUUGGUACUUUUUUAAAAAUAUCACCGAGAUUUCGGUAUUAAUGGGUAUUUUUACCCAUUUUUCAAAAAAAAAAAAUGCGGGAAAUCUCACUGAAGUUAGUGAGGCUGGAAGUUUGUAACUAUCAAAAAAUAAAAAUAAAAUUCUAAGCUUUAAGUUGUAGGUCUUAAAAAGAGGCCUUGAUGGAAAUAAAAGGAAAAGUUGAUCAAUUAAAGAAAGAGUGUAGAGGUCCACUGCCAUUUCCAGUAAUUGUAGCACAACCCAGCUCUGUAAUGUCAUGCGCUUUGAAGUUUAGGUGUGGUUCAGUGGUUGGCAAAGGUAUCUUCAUUACCCGCACUCCACUUACCAAUCCAGCCCGCACACAGAUCCAGAAUUUGCGGGCAAAGGUUGUGUUUUUCAGGUUGGCUCAAAAAUCGUAGAUUUAGGGUUUGUAAAAUUUAAAUCCAAUGGCACAAAAGCAAAUAGAACCCUAGAACAGAUACAGAAAACACAGGGAGUAACAAAAAUAAAAGAAUUUUUUUUUUGUUUUCCUUGGGAGUUUUGCAUGGAUUUCUCUCAGAAAUCAAACGAGGAUGAAUUUUCCCAGAAAUCGAAUGGGAAAUGGAUUUUCUUGGGAAGCAAACGGGGGUUGAAAAGAAAUAAUAAUAACAGGAUUAAAUUAGUACCUACGAGGAUUGAGAGUGGCAGAGGAAAAUAGGGCAUGAUGCUUGCCUAGAAAGGAAAUUCAAUAAAAGGGCUUCUUGAUGCCUCACUCGGGUGCCCGUUUUGUUUUUUAGAUUUAGUAGAGAAAUAAAAAGGAAACAAAUCAUAAGAACAAUAUUAUAAAUCAAAAUUAUUAAUUAUUAAUUAUAAAUAAUUAUUAAUUAUCCAUCUUUAUUUUGGUUAAAUCAAAAUUUUAGUUUUUAUCAGUAACAUUUUAUAAAUUAAAAUUAAUUUGAUAAGAUAAAUUAUUAAUAAUAUUAAUUAUUUAAAUAAAUUAAUGUUAAUAGAAAAUUUUGUUACCACAUAUUUUUAAUACAAAUGUAGAAAUUUUUUAAACAUUUAAAACAAUAUGGCUUUUAUUUAUCAAUAUAAAAAAACAUUAUAUUUUAAUUUAAAAAAAAAUCAAAAUUUACAUGAACUGUUAUAUAUAUACGUUAUAUAUAUAUAUAUACACAAAAACUAACCUCCUCAAUUCUGGAGCUUAUUCGUUACAAGAACUUUUUUUCUCAAAACUGAUUGGUUGACAAAGAAAAUUGCAAUAUUAUCUUCAUUUAUUUAAAAAUAAUUUAAAAUGCAUGCACUUUUUAAUUUAUGAUUUAAUUAUUCCCAAAAAUAGCCCUUUACUUGUCAUGUCAUCCUAAUCCAUUGACAAUUAGAAUCCUUCAUAUAAAUAUUUCCAUUCUUUUUAGAUAUUUUAUUAUUAUUAUUAUUGUUAUUAUUAUUAUUAUUAUUAUUAUUAUUAUUAUUACUUUAUUAUUUUAUUAUUUGGGAUUUUUUUUCUCUAGAAACAUUAUAAAGUAAGAAUUUGAAAAAAAAAAACAGAAUUUAUUAUAGUAUUAAUAAGUUAAAAAUAGAUUCAUAUUCUUGAUAAUAAAUAAACCAAUAAUAAAUUUCUAUUUAUUAUAUAAUAUUAAUAAUUGUUUAAUAUAAUAAUGAAUAAAAUUUGUUAUUAGAGUUUUUCAAUAAUAAAUUUGUUAUAAUAUUAAAAUAAUUAUAUAUUACGAAGUUUAUUAUUUAUUAUUUAAUAAACAACUUUAUUACUUUUUGAAUUGGUAAUUAUGAUUAAAUAUGAUUUGUUUGAUAAUAUUUCCUAAACUUUUAGAAAACUAAAAUAAGAAUCCUAUAAGGUGUUUGUUUCUAGAGGAAAAAAAAAUUAAAUAAUAAAAUAAUAAAAUAACAAAAAAAAUCUAAAAUAAUAAGGAAACAUUUAUAUGGAGGAGUGUAGUUGUCAAUUGAUUUGAAUAACAUGACAAAUAAAAUGGCCUUUUUUGGAAUAAUUGGAUAACUAAGUGCAUGUAUUUCAAAUUAUUUUUAAAUAGAUGAAGAUAAUACUAAUUUAAAAUAUUUGGGAUUCUUUUUACCAUAUAUUUUCUUAUUAGUGAAUCAAAUCCCAUUUUUCCCUAAACUAUAUUGAUUUGGUUAGAUGAGUAUGUAAAUUUGAGGCAUACCAUUUGUUUAAUUGGCUGACCUACUAAAAUGCACAUUGUCUGUUUUUUUUUUUUUUUUGGCAGUGGGUAUCAUAGUGGGUGACCCUAUAUAUAACAAUUUCACCCUUAUUGAUAACCAUAUUAUUGAAAGGCUGGGGGAAACCAAUCUCAAUGAUUUUCAUUUACAUGAUGUAACAAAAUGUUUCCCAUUUCUUUGUUAAUAUAUGUUAUAUUUGUGUAAUAAUUAUGAUGAAUGUAUAUAGGAACACUAUAUUCACGUUCACAUGUCUUUAACAUUUGAUUAAUUUAUUAAUGAAUUAUGGUUGUUUAAUGCAGUGAUAAUAUGAACAUACGAUGUCGUUGUUCUGACCGUAGAUUCCUCUCUGGAAUCCAUUUGCUCUCAGAAGUGAAGAAGGAUGUAAUAAGAGAACUUGGUUUUGGUGGGCUAUUGCAAUUAAGUUGUAAGGAGGUUAAUUUAGAUUUAUGUUUUUGGUUGAUAAAAAACACAAACAUUGCUUAUUCCCAACUCGAGUUAUUUGGGGGUAAGAAGGUCUCUUUAACAUGUCAUGAUGUUGGAGUGAUAAUGGACAUUCCACAUAGUGGAAGAAAGUUAAUUGUUGAGAAGGGAAGUGUUAAAGCUAGUCAAAUGCCGAGUUUGCAAGAUAUAGAGUCAAUGAUGGUUGGCAUCAAUGAUAUGGAGGAAUUUAAGCGGGUCUUCUUGAUUUUCGCUUGUGUAAUCUUAUUGGCACCCACAUCUUGUUUGGAAGGUAGUCACUCGUUAUGGUAUACACCCCGAGAGCAGUUACUUGGGAACAUAAAUUGGGGAGAAUAUGUCUUAGAAUUUUUUAUUCAAGCUAUACAUGAACAUAGGAGGAAGGAAAAUGUUUGGAUUAAAGGGUGUUUGAUGUUUCUACAUGUAACUUUUUGUCUUAUUUAUAAGUAUAUGUUCAUGUAUUAGAUAUUUAAUAAUGGUUAUACACUAUGUUGGCCAUGAUGUUACUACUAAUUAUGUCUUAUAUAAUGCAACAGAUAUUCUACUUUUCAAUAUCUAAUUUUCCAGCCAUGUAUGUGGAACUUACCACUCCUCGCAUUGCUGCAUGGAACGAUUUUUUGGUCAAGCAACACAUCAAGUUGGAGUUGGAAAUGCUUGGAGGAUUUGGCAAAGUUGAGGUAUAAUUAGCUUUUAGUUAUAUUACGAUAGUUGAUUACCAUUGUAAUUAGAUUAUUGGGAUGACAAUUUACAUGUUUUGCAAUGAUAGUUGGUUAGCACAUCAGCGGUGCAAGAUGAAACAGAAAAAAAUAAGGCUCCUACAGUUGAUGAACCAGUUGACCCAGAUGAGAAUGAAGACUUUGAUGUAAUCCUUCAUACUUAAUGACUAUGAAUAGUAACUUAUAUUAAGGCUUAGUUUAAAUAUAUGUCAUUUAAUGUUCCUUCAUUAUGUUUGACUUAGGUUAUUUGUGCUUGCAUGGAGGCAACACAACAUCAAAUCACCGAUGCACAAAGUCAUCUUAAUAGUCUUAUUGCAUCAUACAACCGUGACGUGAAAGUGUUGAGGACUCGUUUCACCUCUUCACACUAUCGCACAGAUGAAGGCCAACCGUCAAAUUGUCAUGAACAUGUUAAUGAAAGUGGUGCACCAUUUUAUACAAAUAAUCCACAACAUUCACCUGUUCAUUCUGGUGGUCAAAGAAGAUCUUCUGAAGAUGACCUUGGAUGUACAAAUGAAGGGGUGUCAGAAAGACCCAACGUAGAAGAUGGUGUGUUCUUUGCAAACGAGGAUCCUCUUCACCCUGGGCCACACAAUAUGUUGGUGUUAGUGCAAUCGUGCAUGGACAACAAUGCGGAUGUAGCACCACAAGCCUCAGAACAAAUACGACCACGAAGAGUAAAAAUUAAAGUACGUCGUCAUAGCCAACGAGUAGCUGCGAGCAAGUCACCUUUUGUAUAAUUAUGUGUAUCAAAAUACAAAAGGUUGACGGAGGAAGAGACACAUGUUGCCGACUAUGUGUUUGACGAGUCAAAAGAUCCUAGGUUAGUCCCAAAUCACACGUUUAGCAAGUAUUGUUCUUAAAAGACUAUGAUUAUGGAUUUGUCUAGAAAAACAAAAAAAAUUACUCACGUCUUGUGUUUCAUGUGAUUAAUAGUGAGAUGCUUUGUGCAUAUGGUGGCUAUGGCGUGACAUGGGAACAACUUCAAUGCUUAGUAGGGAAGAGCUUCAUUGAUAUUCCGGUAAGGUUUAUGAUAAAUAAGAAAAAAUACCUUCAUCCUUCCAUUGAUCAUUUUAACUAAUGAAGAGGCAUUAUGUAGGUGAUUUCCAUGUUCUGCCGAUACAUGAAUGCAAAAGAAAAGAAUCCUUCUCACAGACACUUUUUUAAUCCAUACUUUGGGGUGAGGUUUUUUCCUCGAGUACACCAAAUCUUGUCCCUAAUAUAAGAUGCAUGUAUAGUUUUAGUCAUACAUUGUUACUAUGAUCUCAACAACUUUUUACAGGAAAUAUGUGGUUCAAUGAGCAAGUCUACCUCAAAAUCAACACUCAAGAAAAGAUUAGGUAGCUAUUGUGUUAAUCUUGAAUGUUGCAACUAGGUAAUGCUUAACUAUUGUAUUGAUUACAUAGAUUGAUGACAAUUUUUUAGUAAUUUCGAAUUUAUAUUUCAAAUAUUUGAGCCUUCAUUGUUGUUAUGAUGAUUGUCUGUUUUGUAGUUUUAUAUCCCCUUUUUCCAAUUUAAUGAAUGGGUCAUCAUGGUAAUCAAUUUGGAGGUUAAAAGGGUGGAUCUACUUUCAUCAUAUCAUAGCAUUCAACGGAUUCACUUUGUUAAUGAAACUUUCAAAGUAGUUGGAUUUAUGUCGCAGUUAUUAAAAAAUUCCUUCAAAUGGAAUGAUGUGAAUAUAAAUAAUUUACAUCCACAGUAUGCAGACAUCAUUGGCGAUCCAAAAUUGUUAGUUACAUAUUUUUUUUUCAUGUAUUCAUUUUCAAUCCUAAUUGGGUCCUAUGUUAAUAACAUGUCACAAAUCAUACUUGUUAUUGCAGAUGUCAUACUAGGAUGUAUGUUAUUCUCUAUAUGCAACAUUGGGAUGGAAGUGGUCUUAAUAGAACCAUUAAUUCUAUAAGUUGUUAAGUAUGAUGUUAUGUUUUUAUUUUCAAAUGUACAUGUUAAAUGUUACCGGGAUGUAGGGUCUAACAUAAGUUUAAUGUGUAGGAACGCAUGAGCCUUGAAAGAUUGAAAUUUGCAACUCAUAUGGUUCUUGAUAGCAAAAACGAAAUUGGUGAAAUGGUUACAGCUAAUAUUUGGUCAACCAACAAUGCAGAAUAGUAUUGGGUAACCUUCACAAUUAAUUUCUUUUGUUUUAUUUCAUUCAAUUUUUUAACUAUACAUUCUAAUUUAAACUCUAACUUGGUCAUCGAUAGUGAAUAAUAGAUUUUGAGGCUAUGUCAUGUCUUCUUUAUGGUACAAUAGAAGGGAUACGUUAUCAAUACUGCUUCCAAGCAUGCAUGGUUCAUUUAACUACCAGGCUAGGUGCUAUCUCCUCCCUAUAUAUAUAAAACUAUAGUAAAUGACAUUUUUAUUUUUUAAGGUUAUAUUAUUGACAAUUUCUUUAUGCUUCCAUAAAUCGUUUGUGCUCUUCCAUAUAACCUGUUUAAAUCAGUUGAUAAUAUUAUAAUGACAUGGUCUGGUUGCUUAAACUUAUCCCCAAAUUUCUAUGUUUAUGUAUAAUCAUGAGCCAAUUAUUAGAUUAUUCAACAACCCUGUAAACCAAUUUGGUCAAAUGGCUGUAUUUUCUGUUUAGCUGAAAGAAUCCUUGUUACCAUCUGAUUGUGGGUUUGGCUGUCUCGCAUCUAUAAAGCAAUUGAUACUAAAUUUAGUUUAGAGUGAUUUUUGAUGGUUAGACACUUAAUAAGACAAAAGAUGAAUUGUUCCUGCAUUAAUAUUUCCUAGGGGAGUGUUGUGGAAAGAACCCUCUAAAGGAAUAAGUUCCUUCAUUACUCAUAAGCUUUAUGGGUUUUUAUUAUGUUUUAUUUACAUCUUGUGGUUAACUGUACUUCUCUUAUCUUUAGGAGUUCAUUGAUAAGCUGAUUGAGGAGGAUGAAUUUGAUGCAGAUCAAAAGGAUGCAUUUAAGGUGAUCUGUAAUUGAUGAUAUGCAUGUAACUGAUUGCUCCUUCAUGUAAUUAACCAUACCAUGAACUUAAAUUGUUUUGGUUGCUCAGAAUUUUGUCAAAGACAAUGUCCGAGAGGCAAAAAAAGCCAAUAAACAGGUAUUUUAUAGUAGAUACCAAUCGUUGCAAUAGUUUUGGUCCUACACAUAAAUUUCAAAUAUGUUGAGUACUUGUCAAUUCAUUUUCUUGUAGGCUAGAGAAGCCCGAAAAAAGGCCUUGCAGAAAUGAGUUAGUAGACUAAAGCAGCAUUUGAAAACAUGAAGUUUAACAAGUUCUACUCAGUCCAGACCGAUGAUACUCCUGACAUAUCAAAUGUUAAGGUACAAUUUUUUUUUUUUUUGCAAAAGCUAAUAUUAUUAACACCGCCUAAUUAAAAGAAGGUGCACAAAUGUACACAAGAAGUUUAAAAAUGAGACAUAAAGGCAAUUAGAUUGAGAGAUUAACAAAAGGACCUCUCUAUAAUCAUCAAGAGCCCAACCAAUCAACACAAUCUAAUAUGGAUAGUCAUGUUAAAAGCCAUAGAGAGCAUAAGAAAGAAUUUGUUAGAGUUUGUUCUGAUUAUUAUUCAUUGACAAAAACUUUAAAAUGUUAAGGUACAAUUUUGAACAUCCCUUCUAUUGAAAGAACAAAAUAUCUUCGACACCACUAUUUUUGUUUCUCCAUAUGAGACUAUUGAUAGCCUAUGAAUCUUGUGCAUUUUGAAGCUGGCCUUUAUGCGAUAUUCAAGAUCAUGGUGUAUUGCUAUAAGUCGUUCCCUACAUAAAUAGUCAAAAAUUAUGUAGGGAACAAAUAAAUAAAUUAAACAUAUAUUCCAUCAAGAGAUUAAUUUUUCGAUCACCUGGAAGGAACAAAAGAAACAUUUUGUUGUUUCUUCAACAAUUUCUUAUCUUUAAUGGACCUCUCAAUAGGAUUCGAACCCAGAUGAAGUUCUGACCAUCUGUCAGAGAAAAAAGAAAGAAUGGAUCUUGUAGGAUUCCUAAGAAAUUCUUCAAUUUCUUCCGGAAACAGAUGAAUAAUCAUCUGUUUUUCACGUUCCGUGAAUAGCCGGGACAUUGACAUUGAGGAAUAUCCAAAAAGGCAUUUCGGGAAUCGGUCUGAUUCUAUCUCUGUUCGUUCCGUUUGAAGAAAGGAAGGAUCCCAAAGAAUCGAUCUUUCUUUUAGUUGUUGAAUCUCUCUUUGAUUGACCAAUGUGUGAUAUUUCGAAUCCUCAUUACUAAUGGAAUCAAAAUGAUUUGACUAUUUAUGUAGGGAACGACUUAUAGCAAUACACCAUGAUCUUGAAUAUCACAUCAAGGCUAGCUUCAAAAUGCACAAGAUUCAUAGGCUAUCAAUAGUCUCAUAUGGAGAAACAAAAAUAGUGGUGUCGAAGAUAUUCUAUUAUUUCAAUAGAAGGGAUGUUCAAAAUUGUACCUUAACAUUUUAAAGUUUUUGUCAAUGAAGAAUAAUCGAAACAAACUCUAAUAAAUUCUUUCUUAUGCUCUCUAUGGCUUUUAACAUGACUGUCCAUAUUAGAUUGUGUUGAUUGGUUGGGUUCUUGAUGAUUAUAGAGAGGUCCUUUUGUUAAUCUCUCAAUCUAAUUGCCUUUAUGUCUCAUUUCUAAACUUCUUGUGUACAUUUGUGCACCUUCUUUUAAUUAGGCGGUGUUAAUAAUAUUAGCUUUUGCAAAAAAAAAAAUUGUACCAUAACAUUUGAUAUGUCAGGAGUAUCAUCGAUCUGGACUGAGUAGAACUUGUUAAACUUCAUGUUUUCAAAUGUUGCUUUAGUCUACUAACUCAUUUCUGCAAGGCCUUUUUUCGGGCUUCUCUAGCCUACAAGAAAAGGAAUUGACAAGUACUCAACAUAUUUGAAAUUUAUGUGCAAGACCAAAACUAUUGCAACGAUUGGUAUCUGCUAUAAAAUACCUGUCUAUUAGCUUUUUUUGCCUCUCGGACAUUGUCUUUGACAAAAUUCUGAGCAACCAAAACAAUUUAAGUUCAUGGUAUGAUUAAUUACAUGAAGGAGCAAUCAGUUACAUGCAUAUCAUCAAUUACAGAUCACCUUAAAUGCAUCCUUUUGAUCUGCAUCAAAUUCAUCCUCCUCAAUCAGCUUAUCAAUGAACUCCUAAAGAUAAGAGAAGUACAGUUAACCACAAGAUGUAAAUAAAACAUAAUAAAAACCCAUAAAGCUUAUGAGUAAUGAAGGAACUUAUUCCUUUAGAGGGUUCUUUCCACAACACUCCCCUAGGAAAUAUUAAUGCAGGAACAAGUCAUCUUUUGUCUUAUUAAGUGUCUAACCAUCAAAAAUCACUCUAAACUAAAUUUAGUAUCAAUUGCUUUAUAGAUGCGAGACAGCCAAACCCACAAUCAGAUGGUAACAAGGAUUCUUUCAGCUAAACAAAAAAUACAGCCAUUUGACCAAAUUGGUUUAUAGGGUUGUUGAAUUAUCUAAUAAUUGGCUCAUGAUUAUACAUAAACAUAGAAAAUUGGGGAUAAGUUUAAGCAACCAGACCAUGUCAUUACAAUAUUAUCAACUGAUUUAAACAGGUUAUAUGGAAGAGCACAAACGAUUUAUGGAAGCAUAAAGAAAUUGUCAAUAAUAUAAUCUUAAAAAAUAAAAAUGUCAUUUACUAUAGUUUUAUAUAUAUAGGGAGGAGAUAACACCUAACCUGGUAGUCAAAUGAACCAUGCAUGCAUUGGAAGCAGUAUUGAUAACUUAUCCCUUCUAUUGUACCAUAAAGAAGACAUGACAUAGCCUCAAAAUCUAUUAUUCACUAUCGAUGACCAAGUUAGAGUUUAAAUUAGAAUGUAUAGUUAAAAAAUUGAAUGAAAUAAAACAAAAGAAAUUAAUUGUGAAGGUUACCCAAUACUAUUCUGCAUUGUUGGUUGACCAAAUAUUAGCUGUAACCAUUUCACCAAUUUCGUUUUCGCUAUCAAGAACCAUAUGAGUUGCAAAUUUCAAUCUUUCAAGGCUCAUGCGUUCCUACACAUUAAACUUAUGUUAGACCCUACAUCCCGGUAACAUUUAACAUGUACAUUUGAAAAUAAAAACAUAACAUCAUACUUAACAACUUACAGAAUUAAUGGUUCUAUUAAGACCACUUCCAUCCCAAUGUUGCAUAUAGAGAAUAGCAUACAUCCUAGUAUGACAUCUGCAAUAACAAGUAUGAUUUGUGACAUGUUAUUAACAUAGGACCCAAUUAGGAUUGAAAAUGAAUACAUGAAAAAAAAAUAUGUAACUAACAAUUUUGGAUCGCCAACGAUAUCUGCAUACUGUGGAUGUAAAUUAUUUAUAUUCACAUCAUUCCGUUUGAAGGAAUUUUUUAAUAACUGCGACAUAAAUCCAACUACUUUGAAAGUUUCAUUAACAAAGUGAAUCCGUUGAAUGCUAUGAUAUGAUGAAAGUAGAUCCACCCUUUUAGCCUCCAAAUUGAUUACCAUGAUGACCCAUUCAUUAAAUUGGAAUAAGGGGAUAUAAAACUACAAAACAAACAAUCAUCAUAACAACAAUGAAGGCUUAAAUAUUUGAAAUAUAAAUUCGAAAUUACUAAAAAAUUGUCUUCAAUCUAUGUAAUCAAUACAAUAGUCAGGCAUUACCUGGUUGCAACAUUCAAGAUUAACACAAUAGCUACCUAAUCUUUUCUUGAGUGUUGAUUUUGAGGUAGACUUGCUCAUUGAACCACAUAUUUCCUGUAAAAAGUUGUUGAGAUCAUAGUAACAAUGUAUGACUAAAACUAUACAUGCAUCUUAUAUUAGGGACAAGAUUUGGUGUACUCGAUGAAAAAACCUCACCCCAAAGUAUGGAUUAAAAAAGUGUCUGCGAGAAGGAUUCUCUUCUUUUGCAUUCAUGUAUCGGCAGAACAUGGAAAUCACCUACAUAAUGCCUCUUCAUUAGUUAAAAUGAUCAAUGGAAGGAUGAAGGUAUUUUUUCUUAUUUAUCAUAAACCUUACCGAAAUAUCAAUGAAGCUCUCCCCUACUAAGCAUUGAAGUUGUUCCCAUGUCACACCAUAGCCACCAUAUGCACAAAGCACCUCACUAUUAAUCACAUGAAACAUAAGACGUGAUUAAUUUUUUUUGUUUUUCUAGACAAAUCCAUAAUCAUAGUCUUUUAAGAACAAUACUUGCUAAACGUGUGAUUUGGGACUAACCUAGGAUCUUUUGACUCGUCAAACACAUAGUCGGCAACAUGUGUCUCUUCCUUCGUCAACCUUUUGUAUUUUGAUACACAUAAUUGUACAAAAGGUGACUUGCACGCAGUUGCUCGUUGGCUAUGACGACGUACUUUAAUUUUUACUCUUCGUGGUCAUAUUUCUUCUGAGGCUUGUGGUGCUACAUCCGUAUUGUUGUCUAUGCACGAUUGCACUAACACCAACAUAUUGUGUGGCCCAAGGUGAAGGGGAUCCUCAUUUGCAAAGAACACACCAUCUUCUACGUUGGGUCUUUCUGACACCCCUUCAUUUGUACAUCCAAGGUCAUCUUCAGAAGAUCUUCUUUGACCACCAGAAUGAACAGGUGAAUGUUGUGGAUUAUUUGUAUAAAAUGGUGCACCACUUUCAUUAACAUGUUCAUGACAAUUUGACGGUUGGCCUUCAUCUGUGCGAUAGUGUGAAGAGGUGAAACUAGUCCUCAACACUUUCACGUCACGGUUGUAUGAUGCAAUAAGACUAUUAAGAUGACUUUGUGCAUCGGUGAUUUGACAUUGUGUUGCCUCCAUGCGAGCACAAAUAACUUAAGUCAAACAUAAUGAAGGAACAUUAAAUGACAUAUAUUUAAACUAAGCCUUAAUAUAAGUUACUAUUCAUAGUCAUUAAGUAUGAAGGAUUACAUCAAAGUCUUCAUUCUCAUCUGGGUCAACUGGUUCAUCAACUGCAGGAGCCUUAUUUUUUUCUGUUUCAUCUUGCACCGCUGAUGUGCUAACCAACUAUCAUUGCAAAACAUGUAAAUUGUCAUCCCAAUAAUCUAAUUACAAUGGUAAUCAACUAUCUUAAUAUAACUAAAAGCUAAUUAUACCUCAACUUUGCCAAAUCCUCCAAGCAUUUCCAACUCCAACUUGAUGCGUUGCUUGACCAAAAAAUAUCUUAAUAUACGAAGGAUUCUAAUUGUCAAUGGAUUAGAAUGACAUGACAAGUAAAGGGCUAUUUUUGGGAAUAAUUAAAUCAUAAAUUAAAAAGUGCAUACAUUUUAAAUUAUUUUUAAAUAAAUAAAGAUAAUAUUGGAAUUUUCUUUGUCAACCAAUCAGUUUUGAGAAAAAAAGUUUUUGUAACGAAUAAGCUCUAGAAUUGAGGAGGUUAGUUUUUGUAUAUAUAUAUAUAAUGUAUAUAUAUAACAGUUCAUGUAAAUUUUGAUUUUUUUGUAAAUUAAAUAUAAUAUUUUUUUUUAUAUUGAUAAAUAAAAGCCAUAUUGUUUUAAAUGUUUAAAAAAAUUCUACAUUUGUAUUAAAAAUAUGUGGUAACAAAAUUUUAUUAACAUUAAUUUAUUUAAAUAAUUAAUAUUAUUAAUAAUUUAUCUUAUCAAAUUAAUUUUAAUUUAUAAAAUAUUACUGAUAAAAACUGAAAUUUUGAUUUAACCAAAAUAAAGAUGGAUAAUUAAUAAUUAUUUAUAAUUAAUAAUUAAUAAUUUUGAUUUAUAAUAUUGUUCUUAUGAUUUGUUUCCUUUUUAUUUCUCUACUAGAUCUAAAAAACAAAACGGCCACCUGAGUGAGGCAUCAAGAAGCCCUUUUGCUAAAUUUCCUCUCCAGGCGAGCAUCAUGCCCUAUUUUCCUCUGCCACUCUCAAUCCUCGCAGGUACUAAUCUAAUCAUGUUAUUAAUAUUUCUUUUCAACCCCUGUUUGCUUCUCAAGAAAAUCCAUCCCUCAUUUGAUUUCCGGGAAAAUUCAUCCUCGUUUGAUUUCCGAGAGAAAUCCAUGCAAAACUCCCAAGGAAAACAAAAAAAAAUGCUUUUAUUUUUGUUGCUCCAUGUGUUUUUUGGAUCUGUUCUAGGGUUCUAUUUGCUUUUGUGCCAUUGGAUUUAAAUUUUACAAACCCUAAAUCCACGAUUUUUGAGUUAGGCUGAAAACCACAACCUUUGCCCGCAAAUUCUGGAUCUGUGUGCGGGCUGGACUGGUAAGUGGAGUGCGGGUAAUGAGGAUACCUUUGCCAACCACUGAACCACACCUAAACUUCAAAUACGCUAUUUCUUUAAUUAAUCAACUUUUCUUUUUAUUUCCAUCAAAGCUUCUUUUUAAGACCUACAACUUAAAGCCUAGAAUUUUAUUUUUAUUUUUUGACAGUUACAAACUUACAACCUCACUAGUUUCAGUGAGAUUUCCUGUAUUUAUUUUUUUUUUUUGAAAAAUGGGUAAAAAUACCCAUUAAUACCAAAAUCUCGGCGAUAUUUUUAAAAAAAUUACCCAAUUUUCUGUCAAAGAUCUCAACAAGCAACAAUAACAACCCAAAUUAACUCAUAAAUCCAUUACAUUCAUACCUGGGAAAGCUCCUCUCAGCUCAGACCACCUCUCUCUGUUUUCACUGCAAGCUCCCCUCGCAAAUUGUGGCUGUGAAAGAAAGUGAAAAAAUAUGGGUUUUUGGAGUUAGGGUUUGGUUCAAGAGAGAAAAAGGGAUUUGGGGGGUUUGGUUCAAAGAGAGAAGAAGGGAUUUGGGGUUUGGUUCAAGAGAGAAGAAGGGAUUUGGGGGGUUUGGUUCAAAGAGAGAAGAAGGGAUUUGAGGUUUUGAUUCAACACAAAAGAAAGGAUUUCGGGUAAAUCUCACUAUUAUAUUUUAGUAAAUAUUUUUUUUUAAAUAUUGCCACGUGGAGUGUCUACAUGUCAUAUGAGCCAUGUCAUUGGCUUAAGUGGAACACGACUUUUCUAAGCAAUUGAUUAUGUCAAAGUGCAUGAGGGUAUUUUUGGAAGGGCCCUCAAUAUCACUAUUACAGUGUAUGAAAGGUGGUUUAUUUUAUCCAUUGAAUUUGAAAAGUAAAAAGUAAAGUUUCCAAAAGGCAAAAAUUUGCCCCUUGGUGUAUGGUUACAUAAAUUCCCCUAAAAAUAUUUUGGUACAACUUUUGAAAUCAUUACAAUACAAGACACAGAGAGCAUGAUGUAUUAAGAAUGAGAAGAAUUUAUUUUCAACAAAUCAUUUGAUUCAACUUUACUUGUGUUUAAUUUUUAUUUUGAGAAAGUUAUUUUUACUCAUAUUAUUAAAAGAAUUUAUUGAAUUUUAAUUUUUAAAAAUCAAUUUGAUUAUAUUUAUAAGAAAAUUGCUUUUUAUUUAUUUUUUCUAGAAAAAGAAUGAUUCCUAUAACUUUUUUAUGAAGAUAUUUUAAUUUAAUUUUUUUAUAUAAAUUAUUUAGAAAAAAUAAUUUUUAUAAAUUGAUCAACAACUUUAUUUCAAUUAAAUUUUAUUUGCAAGAAAAUUGAUUUUUAUUAUUUUUAUAUAAAACAAGACUUUUACAUUUUGUUUACAAAAAUAUCAAAAUUCGAUCCAAAUUUAUUGGUAAAAAUAAUUUUUUAAUAGUAAAAAUGGAUUUUUUUACAAUUUUAUUUACAAAAUAUACUUCAAUCCCUUUUUUAUUUACCAAAACUGAUUUUUUUCUUAUUUGAUUUUUAAAAAAAAUAUAUUAAAAAAUAUCUUUAUUUGGUAUGAGCUAAGUUUUUUCCAUUUUAUUAUAAGAUGUUUGGAAAUUACUUCAAUUUUAUGAAAAUAAUUUCAACUUUAUUGUUUAAAAAAAGUUUCAAAUUUAUUAAAAAAAUUUGAAAAUACUUUUAUCCUUUUAAAGAAGAGAUUUCCAUAAUUUUAUCCACAAAAGUAUUUUAAUUUAUUUUUACUUUAAAAAAAAAGAAUUUUAUUCCAAUCAGAUUUAAAAAAUAGCUUUUUUUUUUUUUUUUUUUUUACUUUUAUUAAAAAACGGUUUUUCCAAUUUUAUUUUGAAGAAAAAAUUUGGGAGAAUUGUGUUUUCAACCCAGCUAGGUUGGGUAAUUGAGGUAAGGUCCUCCUAUCACUCAUAAUUAAACCCAAAACCCAAUGAAAGAGUAGAAAUUGAGAGGAAGAAUAUUGUCUUUAAAAAAUCCCUAAAAUACCCUUCUCAUUCUCUCUUUGACUCUUUUACCCUUCUCCCACCUAUUUAAUAGUGGAACCAAAUUGAAUCAUUUUUUUUCAUUUGUUAAAAAUUAUUAUUGCCAACUGUAUUUUUAAAAUGAAUAACUUUUAAAUACCUCAUUAAAUAUUAUUAUUUUUUCAAACUUACAUAAUAUAUAAUAAAUAUUUUUUAAAUAUGUUAAAAACUUACAUAAUAUAUAAUAAAUAUUAUUCUUUAUUUCAAACUUAUAUUAUUUCUCAUAUAUAUUAAAUAAUUUUUAAACACCUCAUAAAAUAUUAGUAUUAUUUAUUUGUUCUAACUUGUAAAUUAUAUAUCAUCAAAUAUUAUUUUUUUUUCAAAUUUAUAAAACAUAUAAUAAAUACUUUUUAAAUACCUUAUAAAAUAUUAUUAAUUUUUUUUUCUAACUUGCAAAUUAGACACAUGAUGUUUAUUAUUUCUUGUAUUAUUUCGAAAAUAAUGUAAAUACUAUAUAUCAAGAAAAAUAUUUACAAGACUAAUUUACCAACCUUUUAAUAAUUUUGAAAGUGUAAAUAGGGUAAUUGGCCAAAUUAAAGUCUUCAAAAUAUUCAAAAUUUCUCCAUUCCAAUAUUACCUAAUUGCUCCCCACAAUAAUCCUAAAUAUUUUUGAAUAAAUAUUUAAAUAUUUAAAACCAUUAAAAUAAAUACUCUCUUAUUAAAGCAAUUUUCUCCAAGUAAUAAGAUAAAAAUCAUGAAAUAUUCAAAACUAUAAUUACAACAAAUAUUUUUAAUUUUAAAACUAAUUUCAUAAUUUAAAUUAAUGAUUUUUAAAAAUAAAAAUGUUAUAAAAAUAAUUUUUGUUUAUUUUUAAUUCCAUUUAAAUAUGAUUUUUUUAAUCUCUAUUGAUAACAAUGAAAUUAUGUUUAUAAAGGCAAAAUAGUAAAAAUAUAUACUUCAUUUAGUUUACUUAUAAUGAACAAUUUAAACACGAUUUAUUUUAAUUUUAUUUUCUAUGUGUUGAUUUUUGUAGGGAAUGUCUUAAUGACAUAGUUUGGUAAAAAAAAAAAAAAAAAAAACUAUCAAUAAUCAUCUUAAUGUCAAACUCAAGUUGUUUAAAAAGCAUACAAAACUAUUAGGAGUCUUAUACAUCCUUGUACACUUAGCACAUUUCUCUUGUACAAUUAGUAUAAUACCCUUGUACAAUGACAUAAAUUUCAUAUCCAUCUUAAGUUAUAUGUCGUAUUAAUCAUAUUUUCAAUGGUUUGAUUGAGAAAAUGGUGAAUGACUUAGGGUCAAUUUUUUUUCCCCAAAUAUCAUUAUUGGGGAAAAUAUUGGAAGAUUAAAAAAGUUACUAAAAGUCAUGUUAAAAAAGUUAUUAAAAUAAGGAAGGAAGAAGAUUAAAAAAAAUUAAACCUUUUAUUUUAUAAUAGUUAAAAAAAACUUUAAAAUACCUUUUAGUAUAAAAGAAAUAAAAAUAGUGAAUAUAUUUAUUUUAAACAGUAUUUUAAUCAUUAAAUUAUUUACUUCUAAAAUGUAAAAGAUAAAAAUAAAUGUAAAUGAUAAUUUUUAUUUAUUUAAAUUAAUAUUUUUUUAGAAAUAAUUUUUUAAAAUAGUCUUUGAAUCAUUAAUAUAAUUUUUGUUUAUUUAUAAUUUAAAAAUAAAAAAUAAUGUUAAUUUUUUAAUUAUUUAUAAAAGAGUUUUAAAAAUAAUACAAAAUUUAAAAAUGAUUAAAUAAAAAAGAAUAAUGGCAUGUGAAAAGUGGUAAAAUAAAGACAAAAAUAAAUCAAAUGAGUAUUUUUGUUAAUUACUAUUUUAUAUCCUUAUAAUCAAUUAUGGGUGGUUGAAGGACUUUAAGUCUAUAUAAGUUGAAAACGCAAUUGUCCCAACAAAAUUCAGAAAAUAGUUUUUUUAUUAAUAUAAAAUUGAAAUCUUAUCUUUUAACAAAAGCAAUUUUCCAAUGUUAUUUUGAUGAAAAAUAGUUUCAAACAGUAGUUUUUAUUAAUAUAAAAAUAAAAAUCUUAUCUUUUAUCAAAAGCUGUCUUCCUCGUAGGGCUGUCUUUUUUGUCAAUCUAGCCAUCUCCCAAUCCACCCAUGCAAACAAAGGCCCUGAGCAAUAAAAAUCAAUAUGCCAAGUAACAUUCAGCAAAGCCCAAUCAUAUAAAGCCCAAAUGAAUAUAAACUAAUCAAGCCUAAACUCAGCUUAAAGCCCACAUGAACAAAUUUAGGCCCAAAAAUAAUCACAACUCAAUGCCUCGAGAGCCCACCAAUAAAACCCAAUGCUCAAAAUAUCAACUGUGAAGAUCAAAGGACAAUGGAAGAUCAACGGAAGGCAAGCUGAUGGAGAGGGACAAUGGUUGCACGUUGAUUAUGGCAGUGAGGGAAUGGAGAAGUGGGAUGGGAAUAGGAAUUUGUGAGUCGCGGCAUGGGCGGGACAAACGAAGGCACGGGUAUGGUGGAAGGGGCAGCAACAUGGGCUGGAUGUGAGAGGUGGGCAGGCGGCAAGAAAAUGGAGAUAAAAGAAAGGGAUGAAUGGAAGAGAGGAAGGGUAAUGAACGAAAGAAAAUGAGAAGAAGAAGAAGAAGUGAGGGCCUGGUCGUGAAGUGAGAGGGAAGAAGGGGGAUAAAAGGAAAAAAGAAAUUAAAAUAAAAUAAAAUGAUAACAAUAAUAAUAAUAAAAGAUAAAUGAAAAAAAUGUAAAAAUAGGCAUCGACAAAUUUGGGGGUGAUGGCAUAGAAAUUGGCCAAAACCCCGUGACAGAAAAAUAAUAAUAACAAUAAUCUAAAAAUAAUAAAAUAAAUAACAAUACGUGUAUUGAAGUUUUAAAUUUUGUUUAAAAAAUAUUUAUAUUUUUAUUAUAUAUAUUAAAUUGAUCUCAAAUGCAUAUCGUAGAGAGUAGUUUUCAUAAAAAUAUUUAAAGUGAGGGUUCUUUGUUUGUUUGUUUUAUUUUUACUCAAAUUUUAAAACAAGUUAUUUUAUUUAGAACUAUUUUUUUAACUUAUCAUAUCUUUUAAGACAAUUUUAAUUUUUUUUUUAAUUCUUUUAUGGUAAGAUAUGUAUAUCAUAAGAUAUCAUAUCUUAUUGGAUAAAAAGUACAUGUUUUAAAACAUAUAAUUUCCAAUGAGAUAUAUUAUUCUUGAAUAUACAUAUUUUAUGAACAUAAUAUUGUAUGAUAACAUAUCCAAUGAGAUAUGGUAUUUAAUUUUUGAAAUGAUUAAAAAAGGUAAUAUGAAAUAUAUAUUAUUUUCAAUAUUUAAAAUAAAAAUUAUAUCACAUCCAAUAUUUUUUUAUUUAAAAAAAUGAAAUUUCUCUUAUAUUUAGUAAUAUUCGUGAUUAAAAUAUUUUAAAUUUAUAAAUAAUUUUUUUUAUUAUGUUAUUCAAUAUAUAAAAAUAAUUCAUAUAUUAUAUAUGAUUAUUAUUUUAUAAAUAUUUUUUAAAAAAUCCUUUUUUAACCAUAAAUUUAAUUUAUAAAAAAAAAUUAUUUUGCGAAAUAAGUAUAUAAAAAAUUUUUUUUAUCAUAUAUAAGAUAUGCAUAUCAUAUAUCUUAGUAUGAGAUUAAUAUAUUUCAUGUAGAAUUGAAUAAAAAAAAAAGUGAAUAAUAUAUCUCAUCACUUAUCUUAUCUCAUGUUUGGAUAAGAUAAAUGAUGAAAUAACUUAUCUUAUAAAAGAUCAAUCAAACAUGUGAUAAUAUUUUAUUUUUUUAUCCUAUUUGAUGUUAUAUCAGCCAACCAAGUACAACUUUAUUCUCUUUAUUUAUUUAUUUUUCUUUUUUUUUUUUCAAUUCUAAACUUUAAUACUGUGAUCUAACUUUUUAUACAAAAUUAAACUAAAUCUAUUUUUGAAAGUUUUAGAUAACUUUUUUUUUUUGAAACUAGUUAAACUACCUUAAUGUAAUAUAAUUUGAAUAAAGAAAUGAAUUAAACAACAUAUAUAAGAAUGAACUAAACUUUUUUUUUUCUUUUCCGAGUCAAGUGUUUGCUUUAAACUUUUUUUUAGAAUCAAGUUGUUUAAUCCUCUUAUGCAAAACCCAUUUCUUACUCAAUUAUAAGGAACAAUAUGAAAUAAUAAAGUAAGAAUAACCUGCAAAUAAUAAAAUAAGAAUUAACUAUUUUUUUUUUCUUGGGUCAAGUUUUUUACUUUAUUUAAGACAGUUUUUGUUUUAAACUUUGCUUUUACACUCAAUUUGAGUUGAGCUCAAACCAAGGUUUGAAUAAUCCGGUCUAAUCCAAACUUGAUUUAAUAUUUUUAUGAUAUUUAUAAUGCAUUUAUGUUAUAUUAAUUUUCUUUCCAUAUUUUUAAAAAAAAUAUUAAAUUAUAUUAUUUCAUAUACUUUUUCAUUUUUUUAGAAAUAUGUACAAAUUUAUUUUUUACUUUUUUAUUGCUAUAUUGAAACUUUUUUUUUUUUAAUUUACUAAUUAAAUUUUCAUAUAAAUAUAUAAAAAAAAUGUAAAACAUUAUCAUGGAUUUUGAAUUAUGCAAUUCCAUCAACUUGUUUAUAUAUAUGAAUAUAAGGUAGCAAACCAAUCAAAUAAAUCCUCUAAACAAUCACAAACCCCAAAGAAAAUCCAACAAAAAUAGAAGAAGAAGAAAGAAACCUAGCUAAGUGUUGGAGACAAAGGAAAAAAAUCAUAAGUAUAUUUCAAAUUAAAAGAACUAUUAAUAUUAAUAUUAUUUUGUAGAGAAUCGUAUUAUGUUUUAAUGGGAAGAGUUUUUCAUUUUUUUUAUUAUGAUUUUAAUAUAAAAAGGGAGAGUAAGGUUGCAUUUUUCAUUUUCUAAAAGAAAUUUUUAUUUUCUUGAAAAUUAGCAUGAUUAAGAUAAAGGAAAAUUAUUAAUCAUGGUUCUCAAUAUAAAAAGAAAAGCCAAAAGAAAAAAAAAGUUAAAAUUGCAAUCAAAUGAAUAAUUUCUCAAAGAAAAUAUUAAAUAUUACCAAUUAUAUUAUAUUUUAUAUAUUCUGAAAUAUAAAAUAAUUUUUUUAUUUUUUACAUUUUGGUUUGAAUCAAGAUGACAUUUGAAAUUUUUUAUUGUUAACUAUUAUAUUUUUACUUUUACCCUUGAGUGAAGAGAAAAGGGCUGGGUUCCUUGGCCCAGAAAACCCUUGCAAGCUUUUGAUCUGGGUUGGGUUUCAAAAUUGGGCCUUCAUGCAUGAUUCAGCACAGAAGGUUUUGGGCUCACCCAUGAUGCGGGUGUACGAUAAAUCAUAAUUAAUGUAUGAUUAUUGAUUUAUUUUAUUUUUUUAAGCAAGUUCAAAAUCAUUGAAUUGGAUAGAAAUUUGCUAGCCCCGUUUGGAUUAACAUAAAAUGCUAGGAAAAAUAAAAGUUAGGAAAUAAAUUUAAAUUUUUAAAUUGGAUUUUUCAUGAAAAAUGUGAAAUAAAAUAAAAUGGAAAAUACCAUAAAAUUUAUAAAAAUUUUCAAAGUCUUCUUUCCAUUUUAUAAAAGAGAAAUAAAUUUGAAGAUUUGUUUUAUAGCUCUAAAUGUAAAAAGGGAAUAGAGGUGUUGAAAUGGUAAUCAAUACAAACCUACAAAAGUUUUCAAUAAAGUAAUUUUUUCUAUACCACUGACUUUAAAAAAAUAAUAAGAAUAAAUAUUUGGAACUAAAAUAAAAAAUAUAUAUAUAUUUCCAAUUUUAAAGGUUUAUUUUCAAAUUUGAUAAAUAUAUUUUCAAAGUUUUGCUGCUUUUAAUAUUUUAUUUCUCUAGUAAUAAACAAUUUUUAUGAGAAAACUUGUACAAUGCAAUAAUAAAAAUAUAAAAAAUUUACAAAAUAUUGGUAGUUGGAUUUUAUGAAGAUUUCGAAAAAUAUUAUAUAAAAAUUCCUAAAUAAUUCCGAUGUGAUCAAAAUUGGCCACAACCCAUAACAAGAAAGGAAAAUCCUCAAUUUUCUUUUCAAUCCUAAACUUCAUAUACUCGACUCGAAAUUUUCAUACAAAAUUAAACUAAAUAUAUUUUUGGAAAUUUUAAUUAACUCUUGUUUUAGAAACCAGUUAAACUACCUUCAUGUAGUACAAUUUAAAUAAAAAAAUGAAUUUACCAUAAAUUAAUGAAACUAUCUUCUCAAAAAUUUAAUAUGACUAAAAUAAAUUUUGUUUUUAUCUAUUUUCUCUCUUUUUUUUCAAGAAAAUUUAGAUCUAAAACUUUCCCAUGAAAAUGAUAACUCAAAAACCACACCAACAAUAUAAAAGUGGAAUCAAUAUAUAUAAAAUAAAUCCACAAAUUUCAAAAUCAUAAAACCAAAAUUCUAUGUUUUUUAAUAAAAUUUUACCUUAACGAAAUAGUGAAUUUUUUUUUUUUUUUUGCCUUAAUAACAAAGUUAUUUUUUUAUACAAAAAUAAACUAAAUUUGUUUUUGAAAAUUUUAGAUCACUCUCGUAUCAAAAACUAGUUAAACUACUUCAAUAUUAUACAACUUGAAUAAAUGUGUAUACAAAUGCAUAUAUAUUGUAAAUAUAAAGUAAAAAAGUAAUAUACAACUAAUUUCAUGAAAGAUAGUAGGAUUUAAAGAAUUAAAAUAUGUCAUACCAUAUGAAAACAUUGAAUGCUAGAUUUUUAAAAAGUUCAAUUUAACAAAAUAUAGGUUUAAUAUAAAAUUUCAUCACAAAUUCCAUAAAAAAAAAACUUCUUAGAAUUUUACAUUUAGGUUUUAGUUCCAAAUUCUACCUAGGCAUAAGUACUUAUAUGUGUUGUUGAUAUAAAUGUCUCUUUGUGCCAUCUCCAAAGUUCCAACUUUUCAUGUUCGUCAUUAUCUCUUCCUCGCCUAAAAAAACCCUAAUAAAUUAAGUAAAAAUUUUUUAUUCACUAAUUACCAUCAUUUUCAUUGUCAAUAUCAAAACCAUCGAAAUGGAAAUUCUCCGAUAUUCAUUAUAAGAAUAAAUUUAUUUAACUUCCACUUUGGCCUUUGACAACAUGAAUAUAGCUUUCAUGUAGGAUUAUCUUUACUCUUUCUCCUAUUAUGAUCAAUUUCUAACCGUUUUGUAUAUAUUUCCUUUAACAAAAUACUUCUGCUAAAAAUUAUGAAAAAUAGCUAAAAGUGUAAAUAUCAUUUUAUCAAGCAUUGGAUGAUGUAUCGUAUAUGUUUCAUAAGAUACACUUAAAAUAAGAUAGGGGUUGCUAAAUGCCUCGUAUCAUGUAUCCUAAGUUUUUAACAACUAUGAUCUAGAUAAAGUUUGAUCCAUAUGCUGAAUGGUGAAGUCAAUGUAAAUAUAACAAAUACAAGAACAUUGAUGCCAAAGGUGACCUCUGAAAUGAAAUACUCACGGGUGGAUGGCAUCUGGAGCACGCCUUGAGCUACUCAGACCAUAUGCAAGAAGAGGCUACAUUGUGAAUAUGUAUUAGUUUCUCUGCAUUCAAUAACUAAAAAAUCAACACAAAUGUAAACAAGAGUAAAAGAUAAGAACGUCAGGAAGAUGAACAAUUAGACUAACAGGAGUACCUGAUUUGCAAAAUCUGCGGCUGAGUGCACAACUUCAGCCAACAUAACAUGGCUAGAGGUUGUUAACCAGACCCCAAACUUGAGAGAAAAGACGAGGAAGUUACACCAUAAUGCAGUUCUGACUGCUCGUUGGCUAGAAUAAACAUGUUAGGCAGACACAAAAGAAACCACAAAAGGUCAGAUGGUGAAAAGUAUUAGCUAAAUUUCUGGUCCCUAAUUGCAAAAAAGGCUCAAAAUUCUUGAUAGGUUUGGAUUCAGUGCAGUUCAUUAAUAUGCAGCUUGGAUUGACGUCAUCCACAAUCACUCCACAUCCUAAGAAAGUCACCCAUAAAAUCACACUAGAGGAGAGAAUCAAGAAACAAAGGAAUCAAAAGAAUGAAAAGCUUUCUCUUUCAUGACUGCUUGCAUCAACUAGUUAAUUUACUCUUUUCUUGUAUUAAAUCAAAGAUAAUGUUACAGAAGAUUAAGAAUUUCCAAAACCAUAAAUAUACACACUCCUAAAGGUUUUGUAGCCUAUUUCUGUGAACUGGGACAUUCCAACUAACCCCAUUUUCAUUUUCGGGUUGCUAUAAAAUAGUGCCCCAAAAUAAAACAUUCCCAUAAAUCUUGCCUUACUUUCCCAAAACCAAAAUACAUGUACUCCGACUCUUAUUUGCAAGUCAACCACACAAAUGCUCACAUGAUCAAUCAACAAACCAACUUACAGCCCCAAAAAUGGCCAGAAAACAACUCAAUUUACCUGUCCUAUAGUAAGCCCUUAACAUGAACUGAAUAGUCCCAAAAAUGCAAUUCAAUUCAAUUCAAUUUGUUUAUCUUAACAUGAAUCAAAUAGGGCCCAGAAACUUAAUAUACUAUAGUCAGCCAUUAAUAUAGCUCAACUAGGACCCGAAAAUUCAAUUCAAUAUAAUUCCACAGUAAGCUAUAAAAUCCAAUCAUGAUUAGAACAAUAGCAAUAAGGAAACAAUGUAGGCCAAUAAAAGAAACCAAUGAAAACUAAUAAUAUCAAUAUCACCUGCUGAUCAUUGAUUUCAAUGUUCUUAACUUCCUUGGCUCUAGUAAAAAAAUCUGUAAAGAUCACAGAAAGUCAACAUCAACCCACAAAAUGGAAAAAGAAUAAAAAUAAAACCACACCAUUCAUCCACCUUCAAAGAAAAAAAAAUACUCACUACGAUUGAUACAGUGGCGAUUAGAAUCUAAAGAGGUCCCACAACUGCACAGAAAAUUCCGCAAUAUGGGCCUUGGAGCGAAAAAAAGGGCUCCAUUUUCUGGGAAUUUACAGUAAGAGCUGGGUUGUUGAAGGUUGUGGUUGAAGGAUGGAGAGGAAUGAAGGAACUGGGAGAGAGUGAGGAGGCGAGAGAGGGGGAAAUGGGAGUAGUGGUGGCGCGUGAGGAGAGCUGGAGAUGGGCUAGGCGUGAAUCGAAGAAGGCAAGAGCCUAUCUUCUUGUUGAUGCUUCUCUGCAUGCUCCUUGUUACUCCACCUCCAUGGAAGCCCUCGUUUCAGAGAUUUUAGGGUUUUGAGCUUUUUGGUUUUGUGAGUUGGAAGGGUUUUUGGAGAAAUGGGAGGAGAGGGGUUUCUGGAAUUGGAACAUGCUUUCUGAUGUGUUUUUCCACUUUUGGGUAAAAAUAAAAAUAAUAAAAUAAAUAAAUUUAUUAUUAUUAUAUUAUGACUCUAUAUGUUCAAGUCAAAAUUUAUUUUAUGAUACAAUUAAUUUUAUAAAAUUGAAAAUAUUUAUAUUAUAGAUAAAAUAAAUAUUAUAUAAAAAAUUAUUUGAGAAAAAAGGUAAAAAAGAUGGUAUUUAUGUUGAGGAAAAACUUUCCCAAUUUUAAAUUUUAGGUUUUUUCAUAUAAUAAUUAUAGAAAAAUACUUCAUUAUCUAAAAUACUUCAAAGGUUGGCUUCUCUUGCUACUUAUGUUUUUAUUAUUUAAACAAUGAUUUUUCUUCAAAAAAAAAAAAAAAAAAACAAAAACCUACUCUUAAACAUUAUUUUAAACAAUAAAUAUUGUAUAUAAAUAAAAUAAAUAUUGCACAAAAAAUAUAGUAUAUAAGAAUAUUAUAGUUAAAAAUAACUAUAGUACUUUUGUUUUUUGGAUAAAUAUGUAUACAACAUAUUCAUUAUACUAAUUGUAUUUUUAUCAUAAUAUUAUAAAUCGAUACCAAUUUUAACUUAGUUUUAUGUUGUUUGGUUGUGAAUGAGAAAUUUGCCGGAAAGAAAAAUUAAAUUUAUUAGGCAUGACCUAAAAGCAAAGAAUAAAAUCCAUUUUAUCCCCUCAACCUUUUGUGUCUCUUACACUUUGUCCCACAUUCAAAAUCCAACGCACUUCAAACUUCUUAAUGGGUAGCACUCAACUUUUUUUUUGGAUAAUUUUUAUUUUCAUUAAAUGGAUGUGCUCCACACGUGAUGUGAUAAGAGGGUAAAAAUGUCAUUUAAAAGAUAUCAAUGGCCCUAAAAUCUAUUCCUUCAUUUUUCUUUUUCUGAAACCUUGAAAUCCUCAAGUUUAAAAAAAGACACCUCCUUUAAUCAAUCUUCCUAUUAUGCUGAGACAAUGAGUCUAGCACAUUAUAUGUUGGCAAUUUUGUUUCAAUAUAUUCUGGUUCAUGAAAGUUUUUAAAUAGUGACUUACUCUUCAUUGAAGAUUCAAGGUUGUUGUUGGUUAAACCAUAAAGUUACAGGUAAGUUUAAAAAUGUUUAUUUAGUGGCAAGUUAAAUGAUUAAAGGGUUAAAGUGGAUCAAUAUUUUUUUCAUAAGCUAAAAAUACUUGAAUUAAUGUUUUGGAAAAAACAAGAGACACUUGAGCGGUGGAACCAACACUCAAGUGCUUAUCUAACACUCAAGCUCACAAGGCGUUCGAGCGAUGGUUAAGUGCAUUCAAGUGGUUGUCCCAAAUCUGCUAGAAUAUGGUAGAUUUCUUUUUGAAAUUUUAUAAGUAUUAUUUUUUGGAAAUUCUAUAUAUCGAUCCCUUAGGCCUAUAGACCUAUAUAAACCCUCUAUUAGCCCCUUUUAGGGUUAGACACCUUGAAAGAGUUGACCAACUUAACCUAUCAUUCCUAAUCUCUCAAGAAAAAAUUCAUAAUAUUGAAUUUCGGGUUGUUGGAAGAACUUGCAUCCCCUAAGAGGUUGAGAAGAAUCUACUAGAGCAUUAGAGGUGUUAUGUCGCGGAUGUGGAUCAAGGUAUAGGUGCUAGAGAAUAAGUUUUUAAGGUAAAAUGGUCAAGUAAAUCUGUGUACUUUGAUCUGAAAUAGUGGAUUGUAUAUUAAAGGUCUUAGACCUCAUGAUUUUUAUUUCCACAGUUAGUGUUAGGUUUUUCCACAUAAAAAAUUAUUAUGUCUCUUAUUUGAUAUUUGAUUACUUUGAUUAUCCCUAAUAUCUUCAAGUUUUAUUUUGGGAUAAUUUUUCAUCACUUAUAUUGUAUUAUUUUAAAACACCUAUUCCCUCAUCUCCCCUCUCAGGUGUUAUCCUAAUAGACAAAAGGUUUUUUCAAUUGGUAUUAGAGCAAGCUUUUCUAAAUAAAAAUCAUAUUUUUAUUGAUCUUGCAAGUCCAAUAUGGAACAACCAAGGUCUGAAGCUCCCCUAAAUAGUCCACCCUAUUUCGAUGGGAGUAAUUAUCCCAACUAAAAGGCCUGAAUGAUUUUUUGAAAAUGCAAGGAGAAAAGGUCUAGAAUGCAACGAAAUAUGGAUGAAGACUUCAUUGAAACUAUAUGUGAAUGGGAUAUCUACUGAUGAAUUAAAACCCAAAAAAGAAUGGCAUAAAUUAGAUAAUGAAGAAAGUGAUGCCAAUGCUCGGGUUCUCUUUAGCAUAUUCAAUAGGGUAAGUCCUAAUGAGUUUUGCAAGAUAGCCACUUGUAAAUAUGCUAAAAAAGCCUAGGACAUUCUCCAGGUUACACAUUAAGGCACUUUAGUUGUGAGGUUCGCUAAAUUGCAAAUGUUAACUUUCAGGUUUGAAAGCAUUAAAACGCAAGAGAAUAAAACUUUCUUUGCAUUCUAUGCUGAAUUAAGUGACAUUUUGAACUUCUUUUUUUAACUUAAGAGAACAAAUCCCUGACUUUAAAGUAAGUAGAAAAAUCUUGAGAUCUCUUCCUGAAAGGUUUAAACCUAAGGUCACCACAAUAGAGGAAAACAAGGAUAUUUACUCCAUGAGGGUUGAUGAACUUGUUGGUUUUUUUCAAAUCUAUGAAAUGACCUUUCUAAACUCUCACAAGCCUAAAGAGUCUACUUUUAAGGAUAAUGAAAUUGAAGAAAAAGAGUCUGAAAAUCAUAAUGAGAUAACUAGGGAUGAACUAGCGUUCAUGGCUAAACGUAUUAAAUGGGUUUGAAACUUAACAAUAGACCUAAUAAGAACAAGGACUUGGGAAAGGAAAAAAGAUUUGGUAGGUCUUCUAAAGAAAAAGAUAAGGAAAUUACGAAAGAGAAAAAAGGUAAAGUGUUUUAAUUAUGGAGGUUUGGAACAUUUUUCUAUUGACUAUGUCCUAGUCUCAAUGACAUUAAAAAAAAUUGUGCAAGCUACAUGAAGCGACACUUACUCUGGUGAGAGUGACUCUAUGACUUUUGAAGAUGCAAGGUAUGAGCAAAAUGAUUAUUUAAAUUUUAUUGCAUCUGUUGAUUCUAAGCAUGAUACUAAUAGUCAUGAGAGUGAGUAUUCUAAUGAAUAGAAUGCUAGUUUUCUUAGAAAUAUUUCCAUUGAAUAUCAAAAACUGAUUGAACAAUAUUUGAAGACUCAUAAUAUUCUUAACUCAUAAAAAGCUAAAAUUGAAUAUUUUUAGUGAAAAAAGACUAAUUAUCUUGCGAAAAUUUGAUUCAUUGAGUUUGAAUAUCAUUCUCUUCUUGAGAAAAACAAUAUUCUAACUUAAAAAAUUGAGACUAAAAAACCAUCAAUAAGGCUUUUCACCUUGGGACUAGUGUUGGAUGAAAUUCUUGAGAAAUGCAAGUCCCAAGGAGAUAAGAAAGGCCUCGACUAUAUUAGCAAAACCAAGACUUCCACAAGUGGAGGCAUAGUAUUAGUUAAAAGUAAGGAGGAAACUCCUAACCAAGAAACAUCUUCUAGCACUUGCUCACUAUUCACACACUGUAAGAAGUCUGAAUAUACUCAAAGUAGGUGUCACACUAGAUUUAUUGAGAGCUAUGAGUCUCAAUUGAAUAGGCUUGUGAACGAGUUUAAAUCUCUAAAGAAUAAUAUUUUGAACACUAUGAGAGGGAAGAAAACCAAUAUAGAGCUUAAGACUCAACAAAGCUCCUCCGAGUCACCACCUAAAACAAGUGUGGAUAAGAAAAGAUAGGCUUAAGUGUUAGAUUGUUUUCACAGCCCUUAGAGCUAAAGCCCUUAGUGAAGCUCUAGGCAUAUGACAGGUGAUAAGUCUUUCGUCACCUCUCUUGAGGAUUUUAAUGGAGGAAAAAUCACCUUUAGGGAUGGUAGUGUAGCCCAUGUGAAAGGUAAAAGUAGUAUCUCUAUCCCCAUAUGCCUAGAUUUAGAUGGAGUCCUUUAUGCUAAUGAACUUAAGGGUAAUCUUCUUAGCAUUAGCCAAAUUUAUGACAGUGACUAUAGGGUAAACUUCUUUUAAAGUUUGUGCGAAGUGAUAAACAAGGAAGGAGAAGUCAUUUUCAUUAUGCUUAGAACAGUGGAUAAUUGCUAUGCAAUAAAUUCUAGUUCUAAAACCUCUUUGGUUUGUAGUAGGGCUAAGCUUGAUAUUAUUGAGUCAUGGCAUAGGAGGCUAGAUCACAUAAACUAUAGACACUUGGUCCACAUAACUAACAAAGACCCAGUUAGAGGUAUCCCUAAGUUGAGUAGUCAACCUAAAUCUAUUUGUGGAGAGUGCCUAAAAGGUAAACAAGUAAGAAACUCACUAAAAAAUAUUCAAGGGAAUAACACUUCUAGGCCUUUAAGCCUUCUUCACAUGGAUCUCAUGGACCCUAUAUGAAAAGGGAGAGUAAAGGAUGUCGUUGAUUUUUCCAGGUAUUCCUUUGUAAGUUUUCUAAAGGACAAAUCUGAAACAUUGAGCACUUGAAGUCCUUGUGCACUAGAAUUCAGGUGGAAAUAGGUAAUCCUAUUGUUAGGAUUAAGAGUGAUAGUGGGAGAGAGUUUGACAAUGUAGAAGUUGAUCUCUUUUAUGAAUUAAAGGAGAUUAAACAUAAUAUUUUGCCUUUAGAACUCCUCAACAAAAUGGAGUGGUAGAAAGGAAGAACCGUGUUCUUUAAGAAAUGACCUGAGUAAUGAUUAACAUGCAUGAUACUUCUAUGCAGUUUUGGACUGAAAUAAUUAACAUGACUUGCUAUACUGCCAAUAGGGUUUUCCUUAGGCAUGGAACAAAGAAAACAUCCUAUAAAUUGUGGAUUGGAACAAAGAAAACAUCAUAUGAAUUAUGGAUUGGCAGUGAGUGCUAUAUUCUCAAGGAUAGAGAAAACCUAGAUAAAUUUAAUUCUAAGUCUAAUUUGGGUAUUUUCCUAUGUUAUUCCAAUAAAAGUAAAACUUAUAAGGUUUAUAAUCAGAAUACUAAAGUUAUCCAAGAAUCUUCAAAUGUAGUCAUCAAUGAUUUUGGAUAUGAUUAGGAAGUCAUUGACUUUGAAAGUUUAACCUAAAAAUCAAUUGGGAAUAACCUUGAAAAAGUUGACUUAGAUGAUAGUCUUAAAAGUAUCCUAAAGAGGUAAUUGACCCCAACAAGGAUGAAAAACCACUUGAAAUUGCUAAGUUGGGCAAAGUGGAAAGUAAACAUAAAUCCAGAGUACCCAAAAAUUACCCUAUCUCAAAUGUAAUAGGAAACAUGGAUGAUUCCAUGGUUACAAGGAGACAAUCUAGACAAAAUGAGAUAGAUUUUUUUUUUUUUUUGUUAUACCUCCUAAUUAGAUCUAAAGAAUGUAGAGGAAGCCUUAGGAGAUAAAUCAUGGACUACUACACUAUAGGAAGAAUUAAAUCAAUUUGUUAGGAAGAAUGUGUGGUACUUAGUCCCUAGGCUUAAAGACAAACCUGUAAUAGGCACAAAAUGGAUAUUUAAGAAUAAACAAGAUGAAAAUGGGUUCAUUGUGAAGAACAAAGCUAGGCUAGUAGUCCAAGGAUAUUCCCAAAUUGAGGGGAUUGAUUUUGAGGAAACUUUUGCACCUUUAACUAGGUUAGAAUCUAUUAAAAUCCUCCUAGAUAUUGCAUGCUCAUUGAGAAUGAAGCUUUUUCAAAUGGAUGUUAAAAGUGUGUUCCUAAAUGGGAUUCUUAGUGAAGAAAUCUAUGUUGAACAACCUAAGGGAUUUGCAGGUCCUAAACUUCCCAAUCAUGUUUAUAGGUUAAAGAAAACCCUUUUUGGAUUAAAACAAGCUCCUAGAGCUUGGUAUGAGAGGCUUACAACUUACCUUUUGGAAAAAGGGUUUGAGAGAAUGAGAGUUGAUAGAACUUUUUUUCAUUUAUAGGUCUAAGUCUAAAUUAUUAGUGGCUCAAAUUUAUGUUGAUGGUUAUAGUUUUUAGAGUCACCCUUACCCUUAACUUUGUUGUGGAUAUGAAAAAAGAGUUCGAAAUGAAUUUGGUAGGUGAACUCAAUUUCUUUCAAGGACUACAGAUUAGACAACUCAAAGAUGAUAUCUUUCUAUCUUAGUCUAAAUAUGAUAGGGAGUUAGUAAAGAAAUUUGGACUUGAGUCCACUAAACACUUUAGGAUACCCAUGAGCACCACUACUAAGCUUUGUAAGAACACAUUUGGGAAGGAUGUUGAGAAAAAGCUUUAUAGGAGUAUGAUAGGAAGUUUGUUAUAUCUUACUGCAAGUUGUCAGGACAUCUCCUUUAGUGUGGGAGUUUGUGCUAGGUACUAAGAAAAUUCCAAAGAGUUACACUUAACUUUUGUCAAAAGAAUCAUUCAUUACAUUAGUGGGACCUUAGAUUAUGGGUUAUGAUGUCCUUAUGAUUCCUCUUGUGUUAUUAUUGGAUAUUUUGAUAUUGAUUGGGUCGAAAAUGUAGAGGAUAGAAAAAGCACUUUUGGGGCUUACUUCUUUAUUGGGGAUUGUUUAGUCUCUUGGCUAAGUAGAAACAAAAUUUAAUUUCUUUGUCCACUGCACAAACGAAAUAUAUGGUCAUAGGAAAUUAUUGUACCUAACUCCUUUGGAUGAAACAGAUGCUCAGUGAGUAUGACAUUGAGUAGGGCAAUAUGAGUCUCCAUUGUGACAAUCUAGUGCUAUUAACAUUUCAAAAAUUUUUGUUCUUCAUUCUUGAACUAAAAAUAUAGACAUCUGUCAUCAUUCUAUUAAGGAUUUAGUUGAAGAUAAAGUCAUUUCUCUAGAGUUUGUCUCAAUGAAACAUCAAUUGGCAGAUAUUUUCACUAAACGCUUGGAUUCUCUUAGGUUUGAAUUCCUUAAGAAGUCCUUGGGUAUAUGACUAAUUGACUAAAAGUUAAAAGGGUAUAAACCUAAGGAUUUGUGUUUUUUUAUCUAUCUUCUUUCCUUUAGUCAAUCCCAUCUUCCUCUUAGAGCACUGGUCUUAUACCCUUUUUCAUUUGCCUUAUUAGUAAGAAUUUCAAUCUCUCAAGUUUUAAGUCUGAGUGAAAUAUACUAAACCUACAAGAGUUGAUUUUAUUUUCCCUAGAAUUUUUUUAAUUACUAUUGAGGUAAAGAAUCAAGGUAUAUAAAAAUCUUUGUAUAGUGGGAUAUCUAAAAAGAAAUAAUUGGCAAGUGAUCCAUGAGGAAUCUUCUUAAGUUUAACUAAUAAAAUAGAAUUUGUUUUUUUCUUUGGAAGUAAUAUCAUGCCUAAUUCUUUUUCAUUCACUUGCCUUGUUUGUCUAAGUUCUAUAUUAUUUUUUCCCAAAGUGUCUUAAGGCAUUCUUGGAUUCUUAGUUAAAAUAAACUAAAAUAUUAUUUCCAAGAUUCUUUCCAAGUUUAUAUACUUUCACUUGCAACAUUUGGAAACACCCUCCUAAGUGGAAUAAGACAACCAUAGUGAAAGUAUGAUUUCCAUAAAUGGUGUACAAUGCCUCCAUUUCUCGGAAAAAAAUAAAAUAAAAAAAUCAUGUUAUGAUUAAGGGGGAGUCAAAGUUGUGUUAUAUGUAGAUCAAAAAAUGCCAUGUCAAAUAGUCUGAUGAACUUAACACAAAUUGACUGAAUGUGAAUUUAUUGGAUCACGACAUGACUUAGUGACUUUUAGAAAUUCAAAUUCGAAAUAUGAAAUUAGACAGUAAGUUGUUUUCCCCUGAAAAUCAAUGCCAUUGAAUUCUCUUAGAUUCUUAUAUAUUUUGAUUGUUAUUCAUCUGAUUUCCAAACUAAGAUCAUGAUUAACCUUGUUCUUUAGAUUUGAAAAUAUCAAUCUUGUUUGGUUGAACUAUGUUUUUUGGGCAUUCUAUUUGUUUUAUUACUUUUCUUUCUAAUUUUGCGAGUUAUUUGAUUUGAAUCUUACUUUAAGUUGAAUUUUUGACCUAUUUCUAAGGUUUUUACAUGUCUCUAUGUUGUUAGUUGGUUUCUUAAUUUGUUUUGUUUUGUUAGUUCACUUUUAGCGUCCAUAAUCCUUCUAGAGUUUUUCACAUAGUCUCGAGCGUUUAUCCCAACGCUCAAGCAUUGGCUUCAUCGCUUAAGCGCUCAAGUGCCCUAAGUUUUUUCUAGUGUUGCUUCAUGUGGUUGUAUCACUCAAGUACUCCUUAAGUUACAUCCAACGCUUGACAUAGAUAUGAUCGAGAAGAAAAACAUCGGUAGGCAGAGAUAUAUCGGUAGAUUCAAUACUUGCAUUUUAAGAAUAAUAAAUAUGAAUUUUGGAAGUGCAUAAAGUUAGAAUUGAGUUAAGAAAUAUUUGAUUUUAUUAAAUAAAAACAAUUUAUGCAUAAAUAUAAUACAUAUGACAUUGCAAUAGUCCUUAGUACCAAAAUAAAGAUCAAUGUGGUUCCAUCAUAUUGUUAGAUGAAAGGAGCCCAUCUUGUUGAAGACAAUAUUUAUUUAAAAAAAUUUUAAAUAUUUUUAUUAAAACAUGUUUUAUUACAUUUUAAAUGAAAAAUUAAAUUAAUUUAUAUAAAAUAUUUUAUUUGAGAUUUAAUUUCUAAAAUUUUAUUAAAAAUAUGUGAUAACAACUUUUUCUAUUAACAUUAAUUUAUUUAAAUAAUUAAAAUUAUUAAUAAUUUAUCUUAUCAAAUUAAUUUUAAUUUAUAAAAUAUUAGAACUUUCUUAAUUUUUUAUAUUAUAGAAAUUUUUUAGGUAAAAUUAUAUUUUUAAUAUUUUAAAGUAAAAACAUUUAAAAUUUAAACAAAAUUGAAAGGAUAAAUGUAAAAAAAGAAAAAUUAAUAGUGAAGUGAUAAUAAUUUUUAAAAAUAAGAUUAAUGAGAUAAAUAUGAAAAGUGUUAAAAAUAAAAGGAUAAUAUAAAAUAAAAUGAUAAUAUAAAAACAUGGUUGAAAUUUGGACCAUCUCAAAAAUUCAAAUCUAGAAAUUUUCAAAAUUUUCAAAAGAAACCCCAAAAAAAUCCCCGAUUUUUCGAAGAUUUUUUUCCGUUCUCCCCCACAUCGCUCCACUCGCUAUUUAUCAGUUCCAGACCGAUAUAUCGCCGAUAUUUUGACAAUUUGCACGAUAUUUUUUUUAUAUUCCUCUCGUUCAAUAAUUAGUGCUCAAAAUCGUUUCGGGGCCAUCCGAUAUUCGAUAUAUCGGCGAAAUAUCGCCGAUAAAAACCGAAAUUUUAAUCCAUGCUCCUAGCACACCUUUUUGAAUCUAUUUCACUUCUUUAGUUCAUUUGAGCACUUUGGGUUGCUGCUUUUUGGCUUCUAGUGAUCUAUUCAUGGCUUGUUUCAUCUUUUCAUCUUCAUAGUAUUGUUUAAGACUGCUUUCUAAGCAUUUCUAAUGGUUUAGUUUCCUCAUAUAUUUUUCUCGAUUUUCGAGCUUUUUUACUUUUAGUUUUUGUAUGAUAUGUCAUUGUUGUCUUAGGGAGGUGUCUUCUCCGAAGCCUUACUCUCACGAAGUUGUUUAGGGCAUCCCUAUCUAGGGUCUUUUCGACUUGAAUAAUCUUCCAUUGGAGCAUUUUCACUCUAAGGAGGCUCAAGAUAGAUACUACUCUGUUCUCUAGAGUCAUCGAGUCAAGGUAGAGCUACCCAUUGAUCUUAGAGCCUUUAAGGACACCUCUUUCUAGGUUUCUUCCAUGUUAAGGGCUUGGAAACUCUUAUGACUGUUUGAGAGACCUCAUAUCCUCAUUACAUUCAGAUAUUCAAUUCAAACAUCAAUUCAAUAGUUUGUGGUCUCAUAUUUAGUGUCACCAUGUAUGGCUAGACCUUCAUGGUCUCUACUUGAUCUAUCAGGUGUGUUAUGGGCAUGUUUUUUCUUACUAAUCAGCUAGCUUUUAGUCUUCUUUCCUGAGGUUUAAGCACUCACUAGAGGUGAGCUUGCCACUAUUCCUGUUACUUUGUAUGACCAGUCCUAUCCGUUGUCGACUUACGUUUCCAUUGCUAACUUCACCAAGUUAGCUUGGGUCCUCACUAUGUUUAUGUCUUAUUCCUUCUACUCCUCCUUCCAUCGUACUUAGAUUCGUCACCUUGUGGCUUGUUUUAUUCAUACCAUUCUCUUUGGGUAGUAGUUCGACAUUGCCUAGGUGAUCCUUGACAUGAUGACAUCAUACCGCGAUCCCACCAUCCGCAGUGGAGCUCCCCUAUUCACCCUUCUUAUUACUAUGAUUCUGGAGCACAUCAGUUUCAAUUUCGAUCUUGCUUUGGUAGCUUGGGUGUCUCGCACUAUCAUUAAUGCGAGUUCCUGGGUUAAGCACUAUAGCCAUGUGUACGGUCGAUAAUCUCUCUGGCCUCAGCUCAAUCAACCUCCAUUCCUCUAACUUCAAUGUCAUAAGAGGUGGCUUAAGAGACCGCAAUAGAGAAGGAGGAGAUUAGGCCAACGGAGUAAGAUUUUCCCAUUUUAAAGGUGGUUUCAAGAUGGGGAAUAGGGCCCUUGUUUUCACCCGUCUCCAAUUCUGGAUCUUUAACAUUUGUUGACCUCAACCCUAAUUAUUUCUUCCAAUCUAUGCCCCAUUACAAGCAUUUUUUGUUAUCUCCUUAUCCCCACUUUAUGAUGGGCUUAGUCCAACACAAAUAGGUUGGUGAGUUAGUUAAGGUUUGUCUUAGAGGCCUAAAUGGACUAGACAUGAGCCUAGUUUUUUAUAACACCUACUAGUGGUGGGCCUUUGGCUCUUCUAUUGUAAGCUCCAAGGCUUCAUUGACAUAACAAAUGAUCAGGCAAAACCAUUUUAUAUUUUUUAUUGUUAGCUAUUAUAUUUUUACUUUUAACCAUAAGUAAGGAGAAAGAGGCUAGUUUCCUUGGCCUAAAAAACCCUUGUAUUCAAGCUUAUGAUCUAGGCUAGGGUUUCAAAAUUGGGCCUUCUAGCCAAGAAGAAUUUGGGCUCAGGGCGUUAGAUAAAUCAUAAUUAAUGUAUGAUUUUUGAUUUAUUUCUUUUAAGCAAGUUCAAAAUCAUUGAAUGUGAUAGAAAUUUAUUAGACCUGUGUGGAUUAACAUAAAAUGUUAGGAAAAAUAAAAGUGAGGAAAUGAAUUUAAAUUUUUAAAUUGGAUUUUUCAUGAAAAAUGUGAAGAAAAAUAAUAAAAUAUAAUAAAAAAUACCAUGAAAAUUUUCAAUUUUCAAAGUUUUCGUUCCUUUUAUAAAAGAAAUAAAUAAAUUUGGAGAUUUGUUUUAUAACUCUAAAUGUGAAAAGGGAAUAGAGGUGUUGAAAUGGUAAUCAAUAAAAACCUACAAAAUUUUCAAUAAAGUAUUUUACAAAAUAAGAAUAAAAAUAUAAAAAAAAAUUACAAAAUAUUGGUAGUUGGAUUUUAUGAAAAUAUUGAAAAAUAUUAUAUAAAAAUUCCUAAAAAAUUUUUAUGCAAUCAAAAUUGGCCAAAACCCAUAACAAGAAAGGAAAACCCACCUUUUUCUUUUCAAUCCUAAACUUCAAAUACUCAAAUUCAAUUUUCAUACAAAAUUAAACUAAAUAUAUUUUUAGAAAUUUUAAAUAACUCUUGUUUUAGAAACUAGUUAAACUACCUUCAUGUAGUAUAAUUUAAAUUAAAAAAAAUGAAUUUACCAUAAAUUAAUGAAAUUAUCAUUCUCAAAAAUUUAAUAUGACUAAAAUAAAUUUUGUUUUUUUCUAUUUUUUCUCUUCUUUUUCAAGAAAAUUUAGAUCUAAAACUUUCCCAUGAAAUGAUAACUCAUAAACCACACCAACAAUAUAAAAGUGAAAUCAAUAUAUACAAAAUAAAUCCGCAAAUUUCAAAAUCAUAAAACCAAAAUUCUAUCAUAUUUAACUACUAUUUUAAACUUAAAUUUCAAGGUUUUUAAUAAAAUUUUACCUCAAUGAAAUAGUGAUUUAAUUUUUUUUUUUACUUUAAUAAAAAGUUGUUUUUUCCUCGGUUAUCUUUUCCAUCUUCAACUUUAUUAUAAUACUCAAAUCUAAUUUUUUUUAUACAAAAUUAAACUAAACUUAUUUUUGAAAAUUUUAGAUCACUCUUGUAUAAAAAACUACUUAAACUACUUUAAUAUUAUAUAACUUGAAUAAAAAAAAUGAAUUUAUCAUAAAUUAACAAAGAUAUAAUAAAAAUAAAUAAAUAUGACUUAAAUAAAUUUUAUUUUUAUUGACAUUUUUUGACAAAACCAUAACCUUUCAAUAGCCUGAUUGUGUUGGACCAAGCCCACCUUAAAGUGGGCGUGUAACAGUAAGGAGAUAAUAAGAAAUGUCUGCUACUCAACCAAUAGGGAGAGAUGGUGCCAACUUAUAUUGUGUAUUCCAUUGUACUGGAUUAUUGGUCUUUGACACUACUUUGAAAGUUUAUUUUUGGUGUUUUUUAGUCCUUUUUAGAGUGUAGGAUCAGUAAAAAAAAAAUUGCAUGAAUUGAAUCUUUGUUGUGCUCUUAAUUCAUGCAAGAGAAUGACAUCUUGUGGGAUGAGAAUUCUUUGAUCCCUAAAUUUUUUAUAUCACAAGCAACCAACAAACAAAUUCCAUACACCAAUGUUUUAAAAACGUGACCAGCCAAUCAAAUUAGUUGGCUCUACUCGAUUUGGAUAUGAUCUUGACGAUUGGUAAACUAGUGGAACCAACUAGGUUUGGAACCGGUCUUGAUUUUUUUCCAUUUAGGUUAGACAAAAAUUUUGGAAAAAAUCAAUAAAUAGAGAUGAUGUUGAAAUUUUAAUAAAAUUAUCAUUUAUAUUUAUGUUCAACUAUUUUUCGUUAUAAUAUAGUUAUAGAAUGUAGUUGCAAACUAGAAGAAUAUAGUUGGAGGAAUGGUGUAUGCUCUAGUGGAUGGUGUCUCACACUCAAUUCCCAUGGAUAGAGGAGUAAGAGUCAGAGACAACAAAUGGAAUUGGCACUAAAACGGGUUGUGAAUUUGAUUGAGAAAUAACUAGUCUCAUGAUAGACAAAGGAACGACUAUGCUAAGAAGAAAUGGGGUUUUGUCACGGUUCUUUGUAGGUUGAUGAGUUCUUCGGUCUAACAUGUGUGAUUUUCUCACUUUUGAAACUUCAUUUUUGGUUUUGAUCUAUUUUAGAGAAGAUAUGUGACACAAUCCAAAAUGGGGUUACAUUGUCUCUUGCUUUUGGCUGUUGUUAUCAUUUGUUGCCUUCAUAUGGUAGAAUGAUGUUUGUCAACUAAAACUUCUAUGACCAAGUUUGAAUUUGAUACAUGGGUGGAGCUGAUUUGUUUAAAUAUUCAUGUUUUGGUGAAACAAGUCAUUUUAAUUGAGCAAAAAAUAUAUACAAUGUAGAAGAUGGAUAAAAUUAAGUUAAAUACUUACAGAAAAUUAAGAUUUUAAGACUCUUCAAUUUAAUAAAAGUUUUGUUGUACUAAGUAUUAUGGGUUAUGCAUUCAAUUUUGGGUAGAAGGAAAAUACUAUCCAAACAAGGCCUACAUAUAAUCUAAAGCAUUCUCAUCCUUAGGAAGCCUAGGGAAUGGAUUAGAUUAAAUAAGUUAGCUCAAAAGUGAUGUAAAAUGUGGGUAUGUUGUAUAAAAACACAUAUUUUCUUCUUGUUUUUCACCAUUCAAAAAGUUAUGAUUUGCUUAAUUUUAUUGAAAAAAAAAAAACCAUACUAAGUUUUUUUUCCCAAUUAUAAAUUUUAGCCACUUUUUGUCAAAAUUAACCAGAAUUCUGUAGACACCAAAAAGGGGGGAAAAGGUCAUAGAUUUAGGUUAAUAAAGAAAUAUAGUUUGGACAAAUAAUUAAAAUAUCUUACAUUGGUCGAUCAUCAUAUCCUACUCAAAUUUAAUAAGGUAGUGGAAACAUAACUAAUAAUUAUAUUUUCAAAGAGAAGUUGAAAAUUUGAAAUUGGAAAUUUCUUCUAUUCAUUUUUAAUAUUUUUUAGGGGCUACUAUAAAUUUUAUCCACAAAGGGAUAACGUACUCUUUUUUUAGUAGUUAAACAAGUUAUAACCUUUGAGAAUCACUAUUGAUCUUAAUAAAGGUCCUUUUUAUAUCAAGAAAUUUCUCUUUGAAUAAAUUAAAAGAGAAAUCUUGCUUUUUAUUGCAACUGUAAUGAAAUUCACUUUCAAAGCUUGUAAUUAUACAUAGAGCAUAUAAAGAUCUACAAACAAAAUUUAUUACCUUCGCAGGUGAUCUUUGGCAUAGGUUGCUCUUCCUCUCAACAACCAUUUGACAAUUUUAUCCACAAAAUCAAAGUAGGUCUCACACCAAGAUUUCCUUGUUGCCAAAACAAAAUAUGGAACUAAAAUACCCAUCGCAAAUCCCAAGCCAACACUCAAGUAAAACCAUUGAUCAAUAUAACCACCAUCAUUUUUGUCCUCAAUAGCACUAUACUUUUUAUCUAGAUCUUCAUCUUGGCAUUUUGUGACCAAUGGAGCUCCACAAAGAUUAGGGUUUCCAAUAAAGGCCGACUCAUUGAAGGUUGACAUUUGCCCUAUAAAGGGGAUCUUACCAGAGAAAUUAUUAUUCGAUAGAUUCAAAUAACUCAAGAAUGUUAAUGAAACCAUGCUUGAAGGAAUGCUGCCGGAAAGCUUAUUCCUUGACAAAUCAAGAGAUAAUAACUGGUGCAA
RNAcentral lists this long non-coding RNA (77914 nucleotides) under Vitis vinifera (wine grape). RNAcentral describes it as "long non-coding RNA (VVIN_LNC003026)". Lineage: Eukaryota; Viridiplantae; Streptophyta; Magnoliopsida; Vitales; Vitaceae. The record is from RNAcentral.